AAAAAAGGGAGGAGGUUUCUGGUCUGAGAGCUGGGUGGAGAGUAAAAGAAACAAAGGGAGAAAAAUAGAGAGGGGCAGCUUGGUUUUGGGCAUGAAAGCUUCGGCGAACCGAGGAAAAAAUCAGAAAAAUGAAGAAGGAAGAAAGCUGGGGAAGACAGAGGGCUUUCAGCUGAAAAGGGAAAGAAAAACUAAGGAAAAAAAAACAGAAAGAACGGAGGGCGGCUAAGGCUGAUGAUCUGGGCAACGAAAGAGCUGGAAAAAGCUAAGAAGAAAAUCGAGAGAGCUCUCGGACGGAGGACUAAGUAGGAAAUGGCAGCAGCAGCGCGCCACAGCCUUCAUCCCCUGCUGCCAUUCCCGAGACCAGCGUUCCAGAAACCGCCGUUGCUCACCGAGCCAUCACCACCUCGUCGGACAUCCAUCACCAUCGUCUGCAAAUCUUCAACCGAACAGAUGCGGUAAGUCAUCUUCCUCCCUUUAAAAAUUCUGUCUUCUCUUCCAGCUUAGACCCAUAAGAAUCUCAAAACAGAGAUUAGCUUAUUGUGAUUUUUAUGUUGAUUGUGCGCAAUUUUGAGCAUACUUGCUUUCUGUAUUGAUUGGGAUUGAAUGUCUUUAUGUUUUCUUACCAAUUCUUGGGCUGAUUAACUUCAAAUUGAACAAAGAAUCGGUGAAAUUUCUUAUACUCAUUUGGUGUUCGACGAAAUGCCCAGCUAAAAAUUCUUAUUGAAAGAUGCUUUGUUUGCAUUUUUUUUUUCGUGUGAAGAAAUCGGUUAAGUUGGUCAAUUCGUUUCCUCACGUUUGAGAAAAUUUUGAUGCAUUGCUGUCUUCCAUUUUUCCGUCUCUCAUGAUUCCGGUCGAAUGAACUCAAACUGAAAUGGUAUGAGAAGAAAUUUGUGUGAUUUUCAUGUUGAUUGAAAAAGGCUAGAAUAAAAACUGAUUUCUCGAAUUGGCUCUGUUGUAAGAAAGACGGAAGUGUCGGAUUGAUGUCUGAUCCGUGGGGAAGAAGACCGGUUGUCCAAAAUUGCAAUUUCAGUCCCUCCAUUUUCUUUUUGUUUUGUGAUUUAGUCCUGGAUUUUCUGAGCUUCAUAAUUUGCCUCCAACACCUUCAUAAGUUCUUCAAUUAGGUCCCUGCUUUUGUUACAUUUGAACCCCUCAAGCUUCCCCUUAUUCUGCUAUGGCCCAAAGCUUGGAAUAAUCUAACCUAUUUCGCCCUUUUUAAGUUUAACCCACUUUUUACAUGUUUUAUGUGAUUUUUGGAUAGAUUAAUGCUGGGAUUUGAUGCAUAAUUAGAGGUUAGCAAACUUUAGUUGGGUUUUUAUCUUGUUGGGUUUCAUAAAAUAAAAUUAGGUUUGGUUUGGACUUGUUGUUUGGGUUUGACAAAUGAAUUAAUGACUUGUUUUUUCUGGGUUGUUGACAUGGGCUGGAGAGAUAAAGCCCAUAUGUUUUUAGUUGAGUUUUGCUUGGACUCAAAAUAGGCUGGCCUGCUUGCUCUCUCAGGGCUUCCGAUUGGGCCAAGUGAGUUUUGGCCCAAUCAAAUAAAUAAAAUAGCCCAGUGGCCUGAUCCAUUAAGAAAUCAGAGAACGAAUUUGCAGAAUGGUCCUCGGACUUUUUCUUAAUUAUGCUAUGGCCCUAAAACUUUAGGCGUUUUCUAAUUGGGUCCCUAAAUUAAUUACAAAUAGGUCCCUAAACUUUAUUUUUCUUUAAUUUUUGACCUCAAAACUUUGUUAAUUUUUACAAUCAAGUCCUUUCUUCUUUUGACUUCUUAAAUGUGGGUUGUUUAUAUGAUUUAAUUGAUUCAAUUUCACAAUUCAUUUUUAUCUUUUAUGAUUAUUUGUUAAUUAAAGUGAUGCCUUGACCUUUUCUUUGUAUUUUGGAGGGUAAAUAAGUGAUUUCACUUCAUUAGAGCCCCAACUCAAGGGAGGUACACCCUAUCCCUUAUUUUGACUUAUUUGAUCCUAUAUGCACUUAUGUGAAAUUAUGUGUGAAAUUGCAUGUUUCUUUUUGAAUAUUCUCAUUAUAUUUGUUCAUUUAGUUACUUUAUUUGUUUUAAUUUUGUAUAUUUAUUUUAUUUUAAUUUGUAAUUAUUUGAGAGGGCAAUUAAAUGCCACAAUUGUAAUAGUUAGGUUAUUAUAUCAUUUUAUUCUUUCCCCCCUUUAGAUUGUAGUAGGGUUUCCCGAAUGUAAUAGUUAAGGCUUUAUUUGUUUUAUUUGCCUUGUGUGUUUUUGUAUGCCUAUGUGUUAUGUGUUACUUGCUUUCCUAGGGUCUUGCAUCUAGACAUGAUGCUUAUGUGUUAUGUGCUAUAUGUGAUUUAUGUGUUUAUUUGCUUUAUUAUGCUUUAUCUGAUUUCUUAGACUGUAAUAAAUGCAUGUUAUGACACUAGUCCAAUGCUAGCUGUGAUUUCUUUCCCGUCACCACACUAGUCCAACGCUAGUUGUGGCUCUUUGUUCCGAUUUCCCACUAGUCCAAUGCUAGUGAGGAUCCAAAGACAUGGGUUAGUCCAAUACUAGACCCUUAGGGACCUCCCUCGCUAGAUCAUGUUUGUAUGAUUACAUUACAUUUCAUGCAUAUUGUCGCGCCCCACUUUUUGAUAGGGUGAAUGUAGUGUGUGGGAUAUGUAUGUGAACGUGUGCGAAAAUGAAAAUAAAAGGCCGUGGGAUUGUGAAAUGCGACGGUUUGGCCAAACAAAGUUUCAAAAAGGGUUUUUUUUUUUAAAAAUGGAGUCGCCACUUGGUAUAGAGUUAGAGUGUACCAAGUCACCCAAAAAGUGAUUUUUUGGAAAAAAAGUAAACAAACCCUUUUUAAAGAAUUUUUAGUUCUACGUAGCCAAAGAAAGGGAUCGGGGGUCACAUUUGAUAAGGAAGAAGGCAAAGGAAGAAGGCAAAGGCAAAGCCUAAGACACUCCCUUACCCUAUCCAAAGCUAGUUGCGUAACUUAGCCCCUCUUUUCCUAAUUUCUUCUACCCAAAGUAUGUGUUGCAUGUUGGAUAUGACUAAUGGAUGAAAAAAUGUAAUCCUAAAUCUAAAAUGUCUCUUAUGAGGCUUUUUGGUCCCAAUCACAUGAAUUGUGAUGGCCAGUAAGAAAAGCCCUCAUAGAGGUCACGAGUAAUGCAAAUGAAGACCCAAAUAUGAAUGCGAGCGUGAAAAUGUAAGCGGAAUGCAAAAUAAAAUACAAAUGUAAGUGCUAGUGUGCAAAUGUAAGAAAGGUGCAUGUGUGCAAAUAUAAGAAAAGUGCAAGUGUGCAAAUUGAGAAAAUAAAGGUGUUUGUGUGCAAGUGGAUGAAAAUAUGGUAUAAUAGUAGUAAAUGCAUCUAAGUACAAUUGGGUGCAGUUUGUGAGGUAGAAAAUAAAUGAUAAAAGAAAAAAAAUGUGCAAACAUGGCAUGUGGAUUGAGAAAAAUAUAAGUUAUGAGAAAAUGUGGAUAAAAGAGUGAGGAAGUGAUAUGAUAAGAAUGAGAGUGCAUGAACCUAGAGGAAUGCAUCAAGUCGGGUACGGGAAUGACUCCUAAUUUCACGACUUUAAUUUUCCCUUUGAUUAGAAGGAAGAACUAGCGUGCUAAGGCUAUUUUGUAGCCACACUCGCUCGUUUCCCUUAUCGAAAGGGGACUCUCAGGCAAAUGUACUCUACAACUAGCAUGAAGAUGCAAAAAUCUAAAAUGAAGGGGGAAGGAUUGGAGGAGCAUGCCAAAUGCUAAAAAACUAAAAAAAUGCAUGAAAUGUAGUGAAACAUGCAAGUAUGUACUAACAAGAGGUGACAGCGUCUAGCAUUGGACUAGCCCUUUCUAAAAUUCUCUCACAAGCAUUGGACUUGUAAGAGCUCAAGGGGACAACCAUGACUAGCAUUGGACUAGCCACGGUUACGUGCAUUUGCAUCCAUCAUACACAUAUAUAAGUAAUGUGCAUAAUUAAAGCAAGUAGGCAUGUGAGCACGUAAUUCACAUAGCACAUAAGCAUGCAUAUCUAGAUGCCAAAACCUAAGAAAGCGAUUAAGCACAUAGCACCUAAACAUGCAAAUCGCACAGGCAAAAAUAAAGCAAAGAAGCCCUAACUAUUACAUUUGAGGGGGGAAGCCUACUACAAUCUAAAAGGGGAAAUAAGAAGAAAUAAAAUGAUUAAAUCCCUAACUAUUACAACUUUGGCAUUCAAGUGCCUUCCAAAUGAUCGAAAUUAAAAAUAACUAUUCAAAACUAGAACAAAUAAAGUAAAUAAUAAAUAAAUAAAUAAGUAAAACGAAAACAUUCAAAAGGCACGCAAUUAAGCUCAUAAAUCACAUAAGCACAUAGGGUCAAAUAAAGGAGAAUAAGGGAUAGAGUAUACCUCCCUUGCGUUGGAGCUCUAAUGGAGUGAAAUUAUUUUAUUUACCCUCCAAAAACAAAGAAAAGUCAGGGCACCUCUUUAAUUAACAAAAUAAUCCAUAAAAAUGGAAAUUGAAUCACUCAAAGCGUUCAAAUAAACUAGACAGCUCAUAUUCAUUAAAUUGAAACAAACAAGGUCCCAAUUGAAGCAAUUAAAGAAGUUAAAUGGGCUAAUUUGAUUGAUUUUUCUAAUUAUUUGGGCCAUAGCAGAAUUGGACAAAAAGCAAGGGGUAAAAAACCAUUUUUUUAUUUUUGGUUUGCAUGCAAGCUUACGUAGAAGACAAAUUUCUGCAACUAAAGCUUUCUGCAACUUUUACUUCCGCGAGCUUCCUCCUCAUUCUACCAGGUAGAUUAAAAUGCGAAUCUCAAGCAAAACCCCAAGUUUGUCAAUCUAAGCUAACAAAACUUCAACCCAUUCAAUUAACAUCCUUAAACGCAAUCAUUCAUCCCCAGAAAAUCCCAUCGAAGCAGCUAGACAUAAAGAUGCAGCAAGGGUGCCAAAGGAGGAAACUUGCGGUGAAUCCAAUUAAACAACAGCAAUUCUGGGUUACUUGAGUGUUUGCACAACAAUAAGCACAACAACAGAGAAAAAAAAAAAGAAGAUGACAGCAUGCAUGCACACGAGAGCUGCUAGCCAUUCGAAGUUUUCAUUGCUUCUGCAAUUUUUCUGUUGCAAAACUGGCAGCUUCAACUUCAAUUAGCACAACUGAUGCUUCAAAAAAAUGCGAGGGACUCUAUGGCUGCAACGAAUGGGCUUGCCAUGUUGCAGCCUGCUGUGACGCCGCUCCUUGCUGCUUUAAAUUGCAGCAAGCAUAUACACAGCAUCACUAACGCACAGCAGACAGACCCAAAUGAAACUCAAGCCAAACCAGAACCUCAAUCACCCCAAAAAAAAAAUCAGUUUUGUCUAAUCGCUGCAACAACCAGAAGCUUCGAGCUUGUUGCUUGUUGCAGCAGAUUUCCGUGCACAAAUCCCAGCCGAACACAGCUUGAAACCAAACAACAGGCUUACCAAAUGCGCUUCCCGCAGCACCAAGAAAAUCAGAAUAAAAAAAACAUGCAAAGUUGGAAAAUUUCUGCGGCUUCACAAUUCAACCAAAACAGAUUCAUGCGAAGUGAUUUGAACCAUACCUUUUGAUAUAUCAACCAUACUUAAAGGCCAUAACUGCUAACAUCACCAAAACAGAACUACCUACUUCCAACAGAUCCAAUAAUACAGCUAAAUACGGAAAAAAUGCAGUGAAACCACAAAGAAAGAAACUUGCAGCAAACUCGACGUGGUACACCAAUCAAACGACCAGCAAACUCCAAACUUCAGACAGACUAAAAGCUUCAGCAUCCCAAAAAGGAGAAUGAUUCUGCCAACAUGGCUGCAACUCUUAUGUUUAAACACACAAACAAAAUUCAGACGAAGAAAGCUUGCAAAUCUAAAAAAAAAAUUCUGCAACUUUCUUUUGGCAAACUUUAGGUUUAAGCAUCAACUAAAUGGAGCUAGGAAUGACUCCUAUACUCCGGGUUUCAUGAACUAUAACAACACACGAUUCAAACACAGAGACAUAGAGCUGAAACAAGUUAUCACACGGCCACACGGGUUUCUACAAAGAAACAGAGAUGAAACCACAAAGAAAGGAAACAAAACAUGCAUGCACAAGGAGGAAAUUCAUGCAAUGAACCCCAGAUCUUCACAAAAUGGUAUGAAAAUGACAGCAAGAAAGGCUAGAGUCACCUGCAAACGUCUGUGAAGUAAACCAAACGGGAAAGCUCAGGAAAUUGACGUUGGUUUCUGGGAAAAGACAACGCCCAGGCAGAUUUGUUGCAGCGGUAGCAACACCUCGUUUUCCCUUUUCCUCUGUUGUUUUCUUCCUUUCAGAUCUCUCUCUACCGCCCCUUUACUUCCCCAGAUCUUCUCUGAAACCCUUAGCUCCAGAAACCUAGUCGUCAGUUCCAGAUUCCCAAGGCCCCAGCCGCUGCACCUUCCUCCUCUCUGGUUUCUUUUUCCUAGCUGUCGAACUCUCCCAGUUCCGUUUCCUCUCCAGCUCUCCCUUUUCUCUCUUCUUUCCGACCGAAGCUCUCUUGUCACCAGAACCCUAGCCGCCUCUUCCCUCCGUUUUUUCCUCUCUCUCUGCCCAGAAAACUCUAUCUCUCUCGGCUCUUUUCUCUCUAGCUAUCCACGCCGUCAAUAGCCUCUCUCUGGUUUUUCCUUGCCCUUUUUCCAAAAGCUCUCUCAGUUUCACCUCCAAUCUCACACAGAAACUCAGCCCUCUCUCUCGCUUUCUCUUUCACUCUUUCUCGGCCCCUUUUUCUUUCAGCUAAACUCCCAGCCCCCUCUCAGCCGUCAACCUCUCUGUCCUCUCUCUCCUGGCUGCGGCUAUCCUUUUUAUAGGAACCCCCAAUCCCUAAACCCUCACCUCAAAGGUGAGGAUAGGGGAUUGGUUUCUACCAAGAUUUCCAGCCCUCCGAUCUUCCAGCAAUCUCCCCGUAAAAAAUGACAUCCUCUUUUGCCGCUGCUGCAUGCACGACACAUUGUCCCUUUUUUUUUUUUCAAGAAAACAUUGAAUUUAAAACAACUACAACUAAAGCAUAUUUUUUGAAUGCUUUUCUUUUCUUUUCAAAAAAUUCUAUGUUAAAACUUAAAAAUAAAAAUAAUAAAAUAAAAAACUAAAAAACUAAAAACUAAAAAGUGAAUAAAACUAACACGACAAAUAAAAAUUAAGACAAAAUAGUAAAUGCAAAUUACACUAAAAUUUUGGUGUCUACACAUAUCUUUCCAUUUUUUUAGGAUCUUUAUCAUUUUUACAUAAUAUUUCCCCUAAUAAAAUAUCCAUUAUCCCUUUGUAUAUAUAACAUUUAGAUUUGCAUCUCAUUUAGGAAAUUAGGGGGUAGAUUAGUGCAUUUUGCCUGAUUAGACUAGAGAUAACCCCUUAAAUAUGGGAUAUGGAUGAGUUUGGCUUUCUAAGCCUUAGCACGCUCGUAUUCCCUCUAUUAAAAGGAACAUUGAAAGUCACGAUCGUAAGUCCCCGCACCCAUCAUGAUGCAUUCCUUUAGGUCAUACACAUUUGUAUAUUAUUAUUUUCUCUACUUUUCCUUUCUUUCGAGUCUCAUGACUUGCAUUAUUCGUGACUUUUUCAAAGAGUUUUUAUUGGGGUCACAAUUAAUGUGAUUGGUACCAAGUAAGCUUUGAAGAUGCAUUUCGACCCCCCGACACCCUCUUAGGUCUAGGGUAUGCAUUCAUAUAGUACAUCCAAAUGUGAUAAAUCUUAAGGGUAAAAUAAGAAAAUCUUUGACUAAAUCGCGCAACUAGCCUUGGCUAGGUUGAAAGGGUGCCUUGGAUUCUUAUCCUUGCCUUUCCUUUCUUCAAAUGUGACUCCCGAAUCUUUUUCUCUGAUUUUUGUAGACUUGGAGUCGUUUAAAAAGGGUUUUUCUAAUUUUUCUUUAAAAAUUCAUUUUUUGGUGACUUGGUACACCUUAACUCUAUACCAAGUGGCGACUCCAAUUUUCAUUCAAAAAAACCCUUUUUCAAACUAUAUUUUGGGUCAAAUCGUCGCAUUUUCAAGUCCCAUUUAGACCCAUGUUUUUCAUUCUCUUCUUAAAUAAAAAAUUCAUUUUCCAAUCAAAAAUUGAACCAAAAGCCAUUUUUCUAAACUCGUCUUUUAUUUUUCUUUAUAAAAAAUGGGGCGCGACAGUUGGCGACUCCACUGGGGACUUAGAGAGUCCGAGCAUAUUGAUUUAGUCGAAACUUUUCUUCUUUUAACCUUUUCAUAUAUCGCAUUUGGAUGUUUAGGGUUGCAUUGUUUCUUUUUUAGGAUUUUUUGCAUUCCACGCGUAUCAACUCACUCCCUCGCCUAUUUGCGUACGAUUGAUUUGAUGGAUGGAUGGCUUAUUUAUGUGAUCCUGCGCCUUGCAUUGCAUUUUGGGUGGGGGAUAUUACCCUAGAGUCUCGCGUUGGUUCUCAAUCCCUCCCCUCCAAACGAGCACUAGCAUACGUGCAUACGAUUUAUUUUUUAUUCCUCAUUUAUUUUUCUUUUAGUGGCUUAUCACGCCACUCCACCCUAUUAGGAUUUUAGGCGACUCACUUGGACUUGUGAUCGCGACACGAUGUGUAUGUAGCAUGAUCCGAGGGGUCACUCGAUCUUCCAUUUUAAGCUUUGGGUUGAUAGCCUUUAGCUUUUAAUCGAAGGUUGAGGAUUUUCGAUAGAUUCACUCAUGACAUGUAGCCGUGACACGAUGUGUGCGUAGCAGUGUCUGGGGAAUCGCUCGAGCCACCGACAAGAAACCUUGGAAGUGAUGACCUUUGGUUUCCAAGUCUGAAAGCUCGGGGACCUAAACCUAUCGAGUCUAGAUGCAUUAGUGAGCCAAUACCUCAUGCAUCCAUGAUAGUUUAUCUAGGGUAGAGUCUGCCUUACCCUAUUAGGGACACUAUUCACGAGGGGAGGGACCCAACCCCUCUAUUUCUUUUAUUGCUUUAUCUCUUUGAAUUGUUACAAAUGUGUUAUGUGUAUUUAUCUGAUUGAACUAACUUGUCUUGGGUUUUGUCUCCAUUGCAUUCAUAAGCCCCAGGAAAUAAGAGUCCUGACAUGGUACUCUCUAGGAGCCUACCCUAUUUGAUAUGACACGUUUAAAUUCAAUGUUCCGCAUUUGCACCAUGAAUCUAUUUCAUUUUAGGCUCACCCCGACAUACAAAAAAGGGUUCCCGUAGGACACGUUUCAUUGGUGUACUGCAUAUUUAGUCGCUUUGAUAAACUGGCAUCAUGCAUCCACCAUAGAGGGAAUGCCAUUUAGGGGAUCCCGUGCUAAGGAUAAAUCGCCAUGUAUCUCGGAUAUAUAAUCCAAUGAGACUUGCACGUUUAUAUUUCUUGUACUAUCCAAAGGAGUAGUGUACGAGGUAAGGUAGGAUCCGAUCUUUUCAAAGAGGGCAAAACAAUUUUUGCACAUUAGAAUAUGAGCAUCUAACAAUCAUUUUUUGGCCAUUUUCAACAUAGUUGGUAAAAAUCCCUUGCUUAAAGGACAUUGACCUGAAGAAAUUCACAGAUAAUUCCCCAUUGUUAAGACGAUAAAUGUAUUGAGACCAAAUUUUGAUUUUAGGAGGCUCAUAAACUAAUGCAUCGUAAUGAUUUUCUUGAAACUACCAAUGGGUAGACAAUUUGAUCAAUUUUUGAAUAAACCAUCAAUUUCAUUUAAUUCAUUGGACCAUUUUAUUCAUCAAUUUCAUCCAAUUCAUUUUGUCAAUUCAUUCAAUUUUAGGACAAUCUAAUCAUUUUUUAAUAAAUCAUUAACUCCGUUCCAUUCAUUUGGCCAAUUCACCCGUUUUUAGGGCAAUUGAACCAAUUUUGAAUAAAUUAUCAAUUUCAUUUGAUCAAUUUACCCCUUUUAGGGUGGUCCGAUCAAUUUUGGAUAAAUCAAAUUCCAUUCAAUUCAUUUGACUAGCUUACCUAUUUUUAGGGCAAUUCGAUCGUUUUUGAAUAAAUCAUCAAUUUUAUCCAAUCCAUUUGACCCGCUUUUUCCCCUUUAGGGUUUAAGUCUAAGGUUUACUGAAUAAAUUAAUCGAGACAUUACAAUUUCUUUUGCACAUCAUUUUAUGUGUUGAUCAAAGCAAGCAAUCGAUUCGGACUUCGUCCUCAUUUUUUUUAGGACAAAUGUCUCUUCUCACUCCAAUUGGCCAAAAUUUUCAAAUCAUUUUUCACUCAAUCAGUUGAUCGGAUUCAUCAGGUAUUGUAUCGUGCCUAUUUUAGAUGAUUGCAUUUUCAUGCUAGGCCUACCCUUGGCACUAAAAGGGUUCCCCCAUAGGACAUGCAUACCGAUUUUAUAAUCUUGCCUACUAACUCGAGGUAUUUUUUGUUUUGUUUUUCCCCCCUCCCAUGCAUUCAUAAAAAUGCUUCAAUAAGGUAAAGAAUAUUUUUCUAUAUCUGAUGAUAAUUUUGAUCUAAUAAAGUGUCAAAAUUACAAGUAUUAUUUGAUUUUUGGGCAGGCCUUACAAUGAAAACAUGAAAGAUCCAUCUGAAAGCUCUAGGUUAAAGUCUCUCAGAGACUUUAUAAUUAUUUUUCAAAGGAAAAUUCUGUUUAUUUGAUUUGUUAAUACAUUUUUUUCAAAAGAAAAGGAGACAAAAAGUAUAUAUGUGGAGCUCUUUAGAAGUUUUCUCUUCUCAUUUGUAUUAUAAUUGAACGAGAAAUUUUGUUUUAAACUUUUUCAGCAAUAAAGUUUUUAGACAAUUAUUAUUUUGUAUAUAUUUAUGUACAUUUCAUUCUUUUACUCAUUAGAGAUUUCAUGAUGAAUUUUAAGAAAAUAAGACCAAAUUGAAAUUUCUCAACCUCCAGCCUGAAAAUUCAUAAGUGUAUGCUUUCUAAAAUCCUUACGUACACUAGAUUGGUGAUCCGAAUUAUACAAUAAGAGUGCUCAGAGUAAAAAAAAAAAAAGAAAAAAAAAGGUGAACGGUCACUCAAAAGGUCCAAUGAGAUACCUUUUCUCUUUCACUUAACCCCAAAAUAAAAUCAGUCACAUUGAUUGAUAAAUUGUAAAUUGGGGCAAUCUUUGCUUGAAAAAUGUCUAUUGUGUCUAAUUAUAUUCAAUUCACAUCUAAGUGAAAGCAAGAAUGUGCAUUAUUCUUGUUUGUUUUGAAAAUUUGGAAUGAUACUUCGAGCGUUCAUUUCUCUACCCAUACAGAUUUUGAUCAUUUGCUCUCCCAUUUGAGUCUUUAAAAGAAUAAUUUCGUUUCAAAUAAGCGUCUUGAUGAUCCCUACAUUGGAAAAUUCUUAAAUAUAAAAAAGGGAGUGGAUUUUUAAUGACCAUUUCGUUACUUUGGUUGUCAUGAGGUGUAAGAAUGAUACUUUGGCCAUCGUUUCUACAACCUAAACACUAUUUAUCCCUUGUAUCCUCAUUUGAGUUAAACUGGGUGGUUCUUUUCAAAAGCACUUACGAUCGCAUCCCACAUUGAGGAAGGAGAUUGGAGAAUUUUCCAAGAGGAGAAAGAAAAAGCAAAAAUGCUAAAAAUUAAAAGAAAAUAGGGAAUCACAAAUUGGAGAAAUUUGAUUCUACUUUGGCUUCAAUUUUGAAAAAAAAGAAAGAAGAAAAGAAAAGAGAAAAAGAGAAAAGGAAAAGGAAGAGUGUCCGGCAAAUCAUCUAUGUUUCACAGAUAUGGAUGAACGGGAGUCAUCCUCAGUUAAUUACUUCAGGUACAUGCGAGAGAUUUCGCAUUAAUGAAAAUUUUCUUUCAGGGUUAAUGUAAGGAACAGAAUAAAAGUCAAACCCUCUUCUUUUCCAAUUCAACAUUCUAUCCCUAGUUAUCCUUUUUGAGCCUUCAGAAUAAAAUAUUUCGUUUGGCAAUCCCUGAGUAUCGCAAACCCCACACUGAGGCAAGUUUGAGUUGAAAAGGAAAGAAAAGUCCCAAGAGGUGAAAAGUGAUAAAGCAACAAAAUCAAAAGUAAAAAAAAAAGAGAACCUCGGUUAAGCAUAAAUUGGGACAAAAUUUGAAAAUUUCAAAGAAAUGGCAGAAGGCUGAAAAAAAUGAAAGAAAAAAGGAGGCUCAAUUGAGAAUAAACUGGGGCAAGUUAUGAUUUAACCCUAAAAGAGGGUUGAUACAAUAAUGCGAUCUCAGAUCAUUUAAACCAUUUUUAAAAUCCGCUUUCAAGCCUUAACUUUUCUAAGCACCCCACCAGACCCCAUUGCAAAAGCCGAAAGUCCUGACUUCUGUUCUUUGCAAUUGUCGCGCCCCACUUUUCGAAUGUUGAUGUGAAAUGUGUGAUGUGAUGUUUGUGUGGUGUGUGAAGUGUGGUGUGUGAACGUGUGCAAAAAAUGGAAAAGGCCAUGGGACUUUGGAAAGCGACGAUUUGGCCAAAAAAUAGUUUUAAAAAGGGUUUUGAAAUAAAAAGUUUGGAGUCGCCACUUGGUAAUGGUUUAGGGUGUACCAAGUCACCCAAAAAAUGAGUUUUAAAGUCAAGUAGUAAUAAACCCUUUUUAAAACGACUCCUAGUCUACGUAAGCCAAAGAAAAAGGUUCGGGAGUCACGUUUGACAAAGGGGAAGGCAAGGAUAGAAUCCAAGGCACCCCUUUGACCUAGCCAAGGCUAGUUGCGCGACUUAACCUUACCUUUCCUAGUUUUCUACCCAAUGUAUGUUCGCACGUUGGAUAUGACUAUAUGAAUGCAAAACGGAAAGGAAAAUGCAAUCCUAGAUGCUACGAUGUCUCUUAUGAGGCUUGUGGUCCCAAACCACAUGAAUUGUGGCGGCCAACAAAGGAAAACCUCAUAGAGGUCGAUUAAUGCAAAUGAGAUUCGAGUGCGCAAGUGUGAAGGUGUAUGAAAGAAGUGUAAGUGCAAGUGCUUGUGUGAAAUUGUAUAAAGGUGCUCGUGUGAAAUGGUAUAAAGUUCAAGUAUUUUCGUGUGCAAGUGUAUGAAAAUAGAAUAAUAGAAAUAGAAGGUAAAGUGGAAUUUCAUUUGUGAAGUGAAAAUAAGCAAGUGAUAGGUAACAUGUAGUAAAAAGGUAUGGUUUGAGAAAUGUGAAAAAAUGUGAUUAAAAGAGUAUGUAGGUGAUAAAAAAUGAAAGUAUGAUCCUAGAGGAAUGCAACAAGUCGGGUACGGGGGUUGACCCCUAACUUUUCGACUUUGAUUUACCCUUUGAUUAGAAGGCAAAACUAGCGUGCUAAGGCUAUCGGGUAGCCACACUCGCUCGUUUUCCUUAUCAGAAGGGGACCCUCAAGCAAAAUGAACCCUAUAGCUAGUAUGGGAUGCAAAACCUAAAAUGAGGGGAAAGGGAGUCGAGGAGCAUGCCAAGUGAUAAAACUAAGAAAAAUGCAUGAUAUGUGGUGAACAAACAAAUGAUAUGCUAAUGAGGGGAAAACCCUAAGAGUCUAGCGUUGGACUAGCCCAUUCUAUGAAUUCCGACUAGCGUUGGACUAGCGGAAACGUACAUUCAUCCAUUCCAUUCAUUCAUGGCUAUGAAAGCAAGUAGACAUGCCAAAAUACUCGUAAACACAUAGCACAUAGCAUUUAGCAUGCUCGACUAGAUGCAAGAGCCUAAUAAAGCAAUUUAACAUGUAGCAACAAAAACAAGCAAGCAAGGGGAAGGGGAAGUGGACCAGAUGCUCUCCGAGCCCUAUCUAUUACAAGCCAAGAGGUGUACACAUACCCCAUAAAACUUAAAUAAAAGCAACCAAGGGGAAGGGGAAAUGGACCAAAUGCUCUCCGAGCCCUAUCUAUUACAAGCCAAGAGGUGUACACAUACCCCAUAAAACUUAAAUAAAGGUAAAAGCAAGUAAAUACAUGCAAGGAGGUAAUGAAAGCGGAGUAGGCAUGCGUAUUCACAUAACACGUAGGAGCACGUAGGAAAAAUAACUCAAGAGUAUAGAAGUUACCUCCCUUGCAAUGGAAAUCGAGUAAAUGAGAUUAGCUUCAAAAUAAUAAAAAGGGUCAAGGUACCAAUUUAUUGAUAAUAUAAACAAAACCAUCAAAAUUCCCACAAUUGCAACUCAAAUGAAAUCACGCAGUGCAUAAUUAUCAAGAAGAGUGGAAUGACCCAUCAAAUUCCCAAAUAUGGCAACCACUAAUCUAAGCAAACACAAUCAAAGCCAAAUGAAUCAUUCAAGAUCUACAAAGGUCCCAAAAUAACAAAGCCCAGUAACGACUCAACUUGUACCCACCUUAGGACCCAGUUGGAAAGGAGAGGGAAUACGAGGGGGUCAGGACAUCUCAAAUUGACCAUUAAUUACACGAAUUUGGCCCAUCGAAAGCAUUUAAACAAUUGCACAACUGGUGAUUCACAAAAUUAGGAUUAAAUUGAAAAAGAAAAGAAAGAUUGAGGGAUCACUUUGAUAGAUUUUUCAAUGGUUUGGGCCAUAGUGAAACAAAGGUAUGCUCGGGGGGUCAAAGUGCAAAUUCAGAAAUUUAUUUCAUGCAUGCAACGUGAACUAAAGCCUUCAUUACUUCUGCAAUUCUGGUUUUCUUUCCUACAUGAUGUGCCGUGCUUCAUUUGUCACCGAAAUGCAUCACCAAAACAACUUGAACCGAAAUAAACCUCAAGAUGCAAUUCUAAUCAUUACCAAACUUAAUGCCACACUUUUAUUGCAAGAUUGAGGCAGCAAAACUGAGUUGAUUGACUGUCAAAGAUCAAGAAAAACAGCAAAAAAGAAUGCCGCCAGAAUUUCUGCAAAAGCUAGGAAGCUUGCUGCAAUUUACGUUUCCAAGUGCAGCUUUUAUAACUGAGAUUAUGUAUUUCAAAAAACAAACCUACAACUUUAGGCUAAACAAAACACAUGAUCACCACUAUCAAAACAAGCAGAAGACUUAGGACAAGAUCAUGCAAAAAUUCUGGAGAAUAACAAGGGUGGUUCAGCGAUUUGGUUGUUCAUUUUGCAGCAAAGCAUUGGAACAUGAUUCAAAGGUUUUAAGAACCCAAACAUGCCAACCCAAAACAAACUUCACCCAGCCAACUCUUCUCUCCACAUAAGAUCAGGCAUCAAGUUAGAUGGCCAAAAAUUUGGUGAACAAUUUGCAGGAAAGAAAACAGCAAAGAGUAAGACCGAAUGCAGCAACCUUUACUUCUCCUAUCUUGGUUUAAAUGUAUUGGCAUGGUUCAAAUGUAUUGGCAUGCAAAACUCAAACAAAUCUGGACAUUUCCUAAACAGAACAGCCACAGCCAAGGUAGUUCAAAGAAAAACAAACAACGGCAAGAAGUAAGGAAAAUGCAAUCUUGGCCGAAUAGAUAAAACUGCAGCAGAAUUUCUGCUAUUUAGCACUUUACAAAAUCCAGCUUUCGAAUGCUAUCAAAACCCAAACAAAACCCCCAUACAAUCCUCUCACCUUGCCACAUGAAACUUGUAGAUCUAAACACCAAAAAGUCGAACGAAAGGACAUGCAAAUCUGGACAGUUCAAACAAAUGUAUGCAAACAAAAACUCCAAGCAAACCGAAGCUUCUUUUUUUUGAAAUAUUUUCAGCCAACAUCCUUUCUGUAACUUGCGGUCGUUUCCUUUCUAUCAUUUCGGCACACACACGACUCAUUUAUAAACUCCAAUGAAGCAUGUAGAAACCUCAAACUGAUAGCCCCAAAACUCAAACUGACUCACUUAGGAUCUAAACAGCCGAAAACAUGAUACAAAAACAUGGCUUCAGUAACUACCGUCCACAAACGGAUGUUUUAUUCAUAUAGUGUCAGAGACAAAUAUUGACCAAAAUGCUAAAACUAAUGAACUGGGCUUCUGGAACAAAUCAUACCCAGAAAUUUAUGAAAUCAUACCAAAAUGCUAAACUAGAUUCGUUCAUGAAAACCCCUACAAAAUUUAUGAUUCCUUUUCUGCAAUUCUCAUUCAUACGUUUAAAAGAACUCUGAACGAAAUCAUGCAAAGCAUCUGGGAAAAUUGACAUUCUGGGCGCACGCAGCUAACAAGAUUCAUCAAAGUAGCAAUCUUUUGAACCAACACACACUUUUAAACCACUCCCAGCAUCAAACAGAUCAAAUGUUUCAUUCCAACGCGAAAUUAUAGUAGAAGAGUGGAACUUUUAGCUGCGGAGAAAGAUAAAAGAAACGGUUACCGUGAGAAUCCUAACACCAGAUUUAUGAAGGCCCGCGAACUUGCUGCGACCUUGAUGAAGAAUCCGCUGCUGGUUCCUCCUCUUUACUUACGUAACUCUGCUUUCUUCUUUUCCUCCCAAUCAGAAACCAGUCGCUCCUUCUUCUCCGUCACCUUCCGCUUCCUUUUUCCCUUUUCGCCUUGCUUCACUUAGCUAUCCCGCCGCCCCUUUUUCCUCUCAAACCUCUUUGUUAGAAACCCUCGCAGUCCCCUGCGUUUUUCCUUUCCAGAUGCCACCCUCUAUUCUCUCCUUCCCGAUCUCAGCCGCCCCUUUUUAUCUCUCGGCCCUUUUUCUUUUCUUUUGCUUGUGUUUCUAUCUCCCCGGACUCUCCCCCGUUUUUCAAAACUCCCCAGAUUAUCCCAGCUUUCUUUUCACUCUCUCUCUAGAACCUAGCCGUCACUUCACCCUUGCGGUUGGCCAAUCCUCUCCUCUCCUCACAGCUUCGUCUUUUCUUUUUCUUUUGUUUUGCAGCCGUCCACUCUCUAAAGCUCUCACUUUCUCGCUUCUCGGUUUUGCUUAGCCGUCGACCCCCCAAAAAUCUGCCUUGCGGCUGUAGCUCUUUUUCCUUUUAUAUCAUCUCCCCAACCUCCUAAACCCUCACCUCAACGAUGAGGAUGAGGGGCUUGUCACCCCCGUAAAAUCUAGCCCUCCGAUCGUCCCUUGUAGAUGUCCUUUGCACGCUGCAAAAAAUUGCAGCGUGCAUGCCGCGACAAGCUAUUUUUUUUUUUUUUUACGAAGAAAACAACUUGAAGAUUACAGAAGCUGUAAAUAAUAAAAUAUAAAUAAUAAUAAUAACAAAAUUACACAAACCAGGUAAUAAUAAUAAUAACAAAACAAAAAUAAUUUUAAACAAAAAAAAAAAACUAAACAAAAUGGCCAUUUUUAACUUUCAAUUUUCCUCUUUUCAUCAUUUUCUUUUUCUCAAAAUAACUUAAUAAAAAUAACUAAAGUGCAAAAAGGUUGAAUGUAAAGAAAUAAACAUAUUUUUGUGAACCAAUUUUUCCUUUCUUUUCCAUUGUUUUUUCCAAGAAACCUAAAAACCUAUUUUUUGAAUUUUUCUUUUCAAGAAAGCAUUGAAUAAAAACAAAAUGACUACAACAUAUUUUUGAUGCUUUUCUUUUUUUUCUUUUUUCUCUUUUUUUCAACAAAUUCUAUGAUAAAACUUAAAAAUAAAAAUAAAACUGGAAACUAAAAACUAAAAAUGAACACGACAAAUAAAAAAACUAAAAAUGAAAUUACACCAAAAAUUUGGUGUCUACAGUUUGCCCCUCUUUGUCCGAGUUUUGAAAAAACUUGAGACAAAGAAGUAGACACCAAAUACUUACCUGUGUUAUUCGGCUACAAAAGAUUCCAACGAACAGGAAUUCUAAUACGGGACUGACCCAAACAUGAAAAAUAAAACGGGACUGACCCGAGUAGGAAUUUAAAACGGGACUGACCCGAACAGGAAUUUUGAAAUCGGGACUGACCCAAACAGGAGUUUAAAAUUGGGAUAGACCCACGGGAUAGACCCGGACAGAAAUGUAAAAUUGGGAUAGACCCACGGGAUAGACUCGGACAGAAAUAUAAAAUUGGGAUUGACUAGAGAUAGAAAAUUCAAAUCAUGGGACUGGCCCGAACAGGCUUUAAUCACGGGACUGACCCGAAUAAGCUUUGAAUUGUGGGACUGACCCGAAAAUGCUCUUGAUCAUGGGACUGACCCGAAUGAGCUUUUGAUCAUGGGACUGACCCGAAAAUGCUUUUGAUCGUGGGACUGACCCGAAUAAGAUUUUGAUCAUGGGGCUGACCUGGAAAUAUUUUUGAUCAUGAGACUGACCCGGCAAUGCUUUUGAUUAUGGGACUGACCCGGAAAUGCUUUUGAUCCUGGGACUGACCCGGAAAUGAUCGUGGGACUGACCCGGAAAUGCUUUUGAUCCUGGGACUGACCCGGAAAUGCUUUUGAUCGUGGGACUGACCCGAAUAAGCUUUUGAUCGUGGGACUGACCCGGAAAUGCUUUUGAUCAUGGGACUGACCCGGAAAUGCUUUUGAUCGUGGGACUGACCCGGAAAUGCUUUUGAUCGUGGGACUGACCCGAAUAAGCUUUUGAUCGUGGGACUGGCCCGGAAAUGCUUUUGAUCAUGGGACUGACCCGGAAAUGCUUUUGAUCGUGGGACUGACCCGAAAAUGCUUUCGAUCAUGGGACUGACCCGAAAAUGCUUUCGAUCAUGGGACUGACCCGAAAAAUGCUUUUGAUAAAAUUUGUGUUGAUUUCUGAUUGAUGAUUUUUCUUUUUGCUUUUCUUUUGACUUUUGAAAAUCUUUCCAAGAAAUUAAUUUGCCCCAGUAUGAUGAAUUUUUGCAAUGUGAGUCCAGAGUUGAUUCCAUAUCGCCAUGCUAUUGCAUUUUUGAUGAAAUUUGCUUGCGACAUUUUCAAUCUGCCUUUGUUCACCGGAGGACUCUUUCCGACACCGAUUCCAGUGCGAGGUGUGAUGACUUUCAUUUGUGCAUGCGGUUUUUCUGCAAAAGAGAAGAAACAAAAGAAUUGUCACCAUCAUUUGAUCCGCUUGCCUUUUGAGAAUCGUGUAAACAUAAGCCUUUUGAUGCCUUCGUCAAAGUUGGCCGCGGCAUCUGACUUGGUUGGAUUUUUCACCCUAAGGCUUUUCCGAUUUACAAACUGAUCCGGUAUGUGCUUUGCCAUAUUGUGAAGUCUGCAUAACUGACUUUGUUGAACCUUAACCCUUUUCAGGAGAUGACUGAACCCAAGUAUGCUUCGAAUAAACCACGGGGGUUGUCAUUUACCACAAUUCAAAGAUAAAGAAUGAAGUAUGCAAGAAAAUUCACUUGUCAUACAAGAAUGCACACAUAACCAUUUGUGCUUAAAUUCUACAAAAAUGCCAUGAAUGCAAGUAAUUUGGUAAAAAUGAAUUUCCUAAGAAUGUAUUUGCCAAAAAAAUGCCUUUCAAAAUGACCCAGUUUUGGCCAACAAAUGUCAUAUUCAAUUCUCUGGAUAUCUUUGUUCUGGAAUUCAAAAUUGACAGAAGUAAGACAAAAAGAGGAGAAAUCCAAAUGAACCAAAUCACUAGCUGUUCUUCCUCGUGCUCGCUUGCUGCAAAAUCCUACCUUGGCGCCCUUUCGGGUUUUCACCAAGGUUGCCCCUUACUUCUUGUUUUGUUUUGUCUUUUCUCUUGAGGUGCCCUUUUUCCUUUUUGGCGCCCUUUCGGGUUUUUACCUAAGGAAGCAAUGGAAGAGCUCAACCUUAAUCGGCUCAGGAGUAUGAGUUAAAGACUUCUGACAUCAGUAAAAUGUACUUCCCCUUGUAAGAUUAAGCGAAGGCAUUAUGGACAUCACUUAUCAGUUGACUAGCAAACUUUCCAAUAGAAAUACAGCAAGUGACGAAAGCCAGGACUUUGGGCUUUUGUAAUGGGGUCUGGUGGGGUAUUUCAAGAAAAGUUGAGGCUUGAAAGCAAAUUUGAUGAGAGGUGUGAAAUAACCUGAGAUUGCAUCAUUUUGAGAUCAUCUUCAAAUUUUGAACAAAACUGAGGAAAAUUUGCCCCAGUUUGAUUGAAUUCUUCUUUUUGUGCUUUUCAUUGCAUUUUUCACAAUUGCAUUUUUCUUCAAAAACUAAAUUUGCCCCAGUGUGGGGUUCUUUCUUUUCCUCUUUUUCCUUUCAUCUCUCUUUCAAAGAUAAAUUUAUCCCAGUGUGGGGUUUUUCUUUCCUUUCUGAUCAUUUUCAAAAUGAAUUUGCCCCAGUGUGGGGUUUGCAGUUCUCAGGGGUUGCCAAACGAAAAUUAUUGCUCUGAUAGCUCAAAGGGGAUGACUAGGGAUAAAUGUUUUGAUUGGAAAGGAAAAUGGCCUGACUUGUGCCUCGUCCCUUGCACGAUUUCCAAAAAGAAACUUGCAUAAUCAAAUAAAGAACUUCUUACACAUGUCCGAGUUGAUAGGUCGAGGGAAUGUCUGUCCUUCCAUCUCUACCAAAAUGAAUGCCUUGCCAGGUAACACCUUUGAACAGCGAAUGGCCCUGGCCAACUUGGAGUGAAUUCGCCUUUGGCUUAAUCUUGCAUUGGCAAAACUCACUUUAACUCUUUGCCCUCCUUCUCUAAAGGACCGGUGGCGGACAUAGGUCAUGCUUUAUGACAUUCAGCUGUUUUUCAUUAAUUAGAAUUGGUAACCCUACUCUAACCAAUCAGCUUUGAGCUUGGCAGGGGAGGAAUUUUUAUCAAUGAAGGGAUUUUUAAUGAAGGGAUUUUGGCCUUUUCCAUGAAGGUUUUUCCAAGGAAUGGAUUUUGAAUGAAGGGAUUUCAAUGAAGCAAGUUUUAUAUGAAGGGAUUUUUCACUGAAGGCUUUUUAAGGACAGGAGUUUUAAUGCAGGGAUUUUUCAAUGAAGGCUUUUCAAUGUGCGGCUUCAUCGAAUUCCAGAACAGUGAUAUUCAGAGGGUCAAAUAAUUUCACCUUUGGCCAUCUUAAAAGAAUUUAAAAGAAUCAAGACAAUAAUCAAAUCAAAUAAAUUAUACACUUCAUGCAACUCCAAAUCAAAGCGGAAACAAAACAAACUCAAUUGCAAAAGACGCUUUCAUUAAGCUAUGCACAUAUGCAAGAAAAAGUUUUCAUGAAUUUUAGCAAACGACAACCCCUAGACUUAUCAAAAUUCCCUUCAAGAGGGAAGAAACUCGGCCAUCCAAAUUGUGCAAAGCUCCUUCAGGAUUUUCAAAUUUCGUCGUUGGAGGUGGAUGUCUCGAAGGUGUCCUGGUGUUCAGGAAAAGGAUCCGUACUUCUGAUCGGCCCUUGUUCACCUCUUUUCCUUAGCACUAUUUCUCCUGCCUCGAUCAUGUCUUGGACUUUGUGCUUAAGUGCCCUGCAAUCGGCGGUUGAGUGGUCAGGUACUCCCGAAUGAUAGGCACAAACAGCAUGUGGAUUGUACCCAGCAGGCAUGCCGUGAAGGUAAGUUGGAGGGGGAAUCACGCCUAUUUUGUUGGCAACCUUCAAUUGCUCAUACAUUUGGUUCAAAGGCCUGCCUAAGUUGGUGAAGGUUCGGGUACGGCUUUGAUUGUAGGUUUCAGUGGGUCGGGGAUAGUUGUAGGUGGGUCUAUUUGGUGGGGGAAAUCUUUGGUGGUAAGGAGGCCGAGGACGAGCUUGUUGAAAGCUUGGUUGAGAUAUUUGGAAAGGGGUUGUAGGCGGGUUGGCAUAAUUUGAGCGAGGUCGAGGAUGAGUGAUAUUGGUGUGGUAAACAGGAUGAGGAUUUGAGUAGUAGGGGUAAGGGUUUGAGUUGGUAGGGUUUUGUCGAGGUCUGGGUCUUGGGACAGGGUUUUGAUUCCAGGUAAAGGCAAUUUCCCCCUCUUUCUUUUUAAAUUGCGGGUUCUUCUCACUAGUCCCCGGUCCUUGCAAAGCAUCCAACUGGGAUUUGAGGGCAGAGACAUUAACAAUCUUCCCAACUUUUACGAAGUCAUCGUACUCCUCAAGUUUAUUAACAAUGGCGGCGAACGAGCAUCCAGUCAUGCGGAAAAUUUCUUCAAAAUACGGGGGAUCAUGUGCUUUAAUGAAAGUCCGUAUGAUUUCGUCUUCAGUCAUCGAUGGCUCAACUUUUGCAGCUAUUGUCCUCCAUCUCUUAGCAUAGGUCUUGUGAUCCUCGGAGGGUUUUCUUUUUGUUCCUUCCAACGUGGUUCGUGUCGGAGCCAGCUCGCAGUUAUACUCGUACUGCUUUACAAAAGCGUUGGACAAGUCCAGCCAGGUCUUUGCUUCUUCGGGUUUCAGCUUGGAAUACCAGUCGAGUGCAUCCCCCUCCAGACUUUCCGGGAACAGCCGUAAAGGCAAAUUCUCGUCGUCUAUGGGCCUUCCCAAUUUGUUGGCAAACAAGCGGAGGUGCGUUUUGGGAUUGCCAGUUCCAUCGUACUUGUAAAACUUAGGGGUUUUGAACCCCUCAGGCAAUUGUACAUUUGGAAAGAGGCAAAGCUCAUCGUAAUCCAAGACUCCUUGCUUGUUUAACUCCUGACUCCUUCUCAUAAAUUCAUCAAAACGAUCGAGGCGUUUGAGCAGCUUUAUAUCAACGGGAGCAGAAGAUUCCCCCAUUUCUGCCUUGGCUUGAACAAUAUGGUCUGGUAGGAAUGGCUCAGCAACAGGGUGAUAAAAGGUAUGUGGCUCAGGUGGUAUAUUUGAAGUGAUUUGGGGUGGUGGACCUCGCGUGUGAGUAAGAAAAAAUGAAGGAUGAGGAGGGUAAGUGUAUGGCAAAUGUAUGGUAGGAUAGGUGAAAGUUCCUUCGGGUGGAAUAAUGAAAGGUGGAGCAAAAGUGGUUUGGGUCGUGGCUAUGCCAAACGAUUCUGGCUCCGGCUGACUGACGGGUUCAGGCUCAGGUUGAACUCCACUACUGAUAAGCUCAUCGAUUAAUUUCUUUCGGGCGGCCAUUUCAGUUGCCAUUUCACCAAACUUCGUAAGCAUCUCGGUCAGUUGGACCCCCAAACUUGCAGUCUCAGGUUGAGCUGUAGUAGCAAACUUAUCCGACAAUUCCGGUUGCGAACUCAUGUUUACACGACUCCUCUGGGCUUGACUACGGGAUCGCGUUAUGAUGGGGCUUCGACGAGAAGCUAUAUUUAAAUAUUACCUGAGAAUUUUGAAAGGAAUUGCCUUUAGAUAACCCUUGCCUAGUUAUUACAAUAAAAAUAAAGAAAAGAAAAAGGCAAGAGUUAGUAGAUAUCCAGGAAAUUCGGAUGCAUGUCCUAUGGGGGAACCCUUUUUGUGCCAAGGGUAGGCCUAGCAUGAAAAUGCAAUCCUCUGAAGUAGGCACUAUACCAUACCUGAUGGAUCUGAUCAACUCAUUGAGUGAAAAAUAAUUUUGAAAAAUUUAGUCAAUUGGAUUGACGAGAGACACUUUGUCAAAAUGAGGUCAACGUCCGAAUAGAUUGAUCACUUUUGAUUGAUACAAGAAUUUGCAAAAACGCACGGGUUUUGACUUUGACGAACUUCCUAUCGAAGAAAUUGGAAUUCGUUAACAAAUUUUCUUAGUGAAACGCAGGUCAAAAACUCCAACUGAUCAAAUGGAUGGAUGCAAUGGAUGGUUUUCUCAGAAAUCGACUAAGUUUCCCAAUUUGAAAUUGACAUUGAAACCCUAAUUGGUCAAAUGGGUUGAAUGAAAUUGACCAUUUAUUUAAAACUCGAUUGGAUUACCCUAAAAAGGAAAACGGGUCGAAUGAAUUGAAUGAAAUUUAAUUUACCCAAAAUUAAUCAAAUCACCCUAAAAAGGGUAAAUUGAUCAAAUAGAUUGAACGAAACUUGACUUAUUCAAAAUCGGCUCGGUUGCCCUAAAAAUGGGUGAAUUGGCCAAAUGAAACGAAAUGAAGAUUUAUUCAAAAAUCGACCAGAUGACCCUAAAAAGGGUAAAUUGGUCAAAUGACCCUAAAAAGGGUAAAUUGGUCAAAUGAAUUGACGAUUUAUUCAAAAUCGACCAGGUGACCCUAAAAAAGGGUAAAUUGGUCAAAUGAAUGAAUUGGUCAAAUGAUGAAUGAAUUGACAAAAUGGAUUGGAUAAAACGGAUGAUUUAUUCAAAAAUUGACCGAAUCGCCUUCAAAAAAAGGUAAAAUGGUCAAAUGCAUUUAUUCAAAAUUGAAUGGAUAACCCUAAGAAUGAAUUAAACUAAUCAACUGAAUUGAAUGAAGUCAAUUGAUCAAACAGAUCGAGUGAAAUGAUGAUUUGACCAACUCGCCCUAAAACUAGGCAAAUCGAUCUAAUAGAUCGAAUGAUUGAUUCAAAAUUGACUAAAUCGCCCUAAAAAAGGUAAACUAGUCAAAUGAAAUCGGAUGACUUAUUCAAAAUUGAUUGAAUUGACCUAAGAAAUGAGUAAAUUGGUCCAAUGAAUAAAAUGGAGAUUGAUGAUUUAUGCAAAAAUCGACCAAAUCACCCUAAAAGGGUAAAUUGGUCGAAUGAAUGAAUGAUUUUUCAAAAAUCGACCUGAUGACCCUAAAAAGGGUAAAUUGGUCAAAUGAAUGAAGUUAUUCAAAAUUGAUUAGGAAUUGACAAAAUGGAUCGAUUGAAUCGUUCGGCCAUUGGUGGUUUCAAAAAAUUAGUCUAUGAGCCUUCUAAAAUCACGAUUUGGCCUCAGUUUAUUAACUGUCUCAAUGAUAAGGAAUUAUUUGUGAAUUUCUUCAAAUUAAUGUCCUUUACGCAAGGGAUUUUUACCAAUUUUUGAUAAAAUGGCCAAAAAGUGAUUAUUAGAUGCUCAUAUUCCAAAGAUUACUCUAUGAAAAUGAUCGGAUCCUACCUUACCUUGUGCACUAUCCCUUUGGAUGGUACAAAAUGUAAACGUGCAAGUCUCACUGGAUUAAGUAUCCGAGACACAAAGGUGGCUUAUUCCUAAUGCGGGAUCCCCUAAAUGGCAUUCCCUUUCUAGGGUUUAUGCCUGAUGCCAUUUAUUAAAGCGGUAAAAUGUGCAAUUCGAAAUGAAACGUAACCUAAAAGAACCUUUUAUACGCCAAGGUGGGCUUAGAAUGCUAUGCAAUUAUUAAUCUAUGAAUGCAAUAUACCAAAAUCUUUAAACGUGCAAUAACCUAUCUACGAGGGUAGGUUCUAAAAGAAGGUCAUGCCAGACCUCUUAUUUGCUAGGGUUUGUGAAUGCAAUGGGGACACAAAAUCAGGAAAAGUUAGUUCAGCCAAGAUAAAUACACAUAACACAUUGUAGCAACGAAAUCAAGCAAUCAGUACAAAGAAAUAAAGCAAUAAAAGGGAGAAAGGGGUUGGAUCCCUCCCCUCGUGAAUAGUGUCCCUAGCUCAGGAUAAGGCUGACUCUAUCCUAGGCAAGUUACCAUGGAUGCAUGAGGUAUUGGCUCACUAAUGCAUCUAGACUCGAUAGGUUUUAGGUCCCCGAGCCUUCAGACUUGGAAACCAAGGGUUAUCAAUCCCAAGGUUCUUUGUCGGUGGCUCGAGCGAUUCCCCAGACAUUGCUACGCACACGUCGUGUCACGGCCACAUGUCUGAGUGAAUCUAUCAAAAAAUCCUUAAUCUUCGACUAAAAGCUAAGGGCUAUUAACCCAAAGCUUAAAGUGGAAGAUUAAGUGACCCCUUGGAUCGUGCUACGCACACGUCGUGUCACGAUCACACGUCCAAGUAGGUCGCCUAAAAUCCUAACAGGGUGGAGUGGCGUGACAAGCCACUAAAAGAAAAAAUAAAGGAGGGAUAAAUAUAUAAAGCGUAUGCACGUAUGCUAGUGCUCGUUUGGAGGGGAGGGAUCAAGAACCAACGCGAUGCUCUAAAAGGUGACACACCCCCUCCCAAAUGCAAUGCAAGCGCGAGAUAAACAAGUAAACAUACAUCCAAUCAACCAAUCACACAUACGUGAGUGAGGGAAAAGUUUGAUACGCGCGCGAGGCGAAAAAGUCCUAAAAUAAAAAGUGCAACCCUAAUAUCCAAAUGCAAUGCAUAAAAAGGGUAGAAAAAGGAAACGAAUGGCUAAGUCAAAUGCUCGGACCCACUUAAGAAGUCCCCAGUGGAGUCGCCAACUGUCGCGCCCCACUUUUCGAAUGUUGAUGUGAAAUGUGUGAUGUGAUGUUUGUGUGGUGUGUGAAGUGUGGUGUGUGAACGUGUGCAAAAAAUGGAAAAGGCCAUGGGACUUUGGAAAGCGACGAUUUGGCCAAAAAAUAGUUUUAAAAAGGGUUUUGAAAUAAAAAGUUUGGAGUCGCCACUUGGUAAUGGUUUAGGGUGUACCAAGUCACCCAAAAAAUGAGUUUUAAAGUCAAGUAGUAAUAAACCCUUUUUAAAACGACUCCUAGUCUACGUAAGCCAAAGAAAAAGGUUCGGGAGUCACGUUUGACAAAGGGGAAGGCAAGGAUAGAAUCCAAGGCACCCCUUUGACCUAGCCAAGGCUAGUUGCGCGACUUAACCUUACCUUUCCUAGUUUUCUACCCAAUGUAUGUUCGCACGUUGGAUAUGACUAUAUGAAUGCAAAACGGAAAGGAAAAUGCAAUCCUAGAUGCUACGAUGUCUCUUAUGAGGCUUGUGGUCCCAAACCACAUGAAUUGUGGCGGCCAACAAAGGAAAACCUCAUAGAGGUCGAUUAAUGCAAAUGAGAUUCGAGUGCGCAAGUGUGAAGGUGUAUGAAAGAAGUGUAAGUGCAAGUGCUUGUGUGAAAUUGUAUAAAGGUGCUCGUGUGAAAUGGUAUAAAGUUCAAGUAUUUUCGUGUGCAAGUGUAUGAAAAUAGAAUAAUAGAAAUAGAAGGUAAAGUGGAAUUUCAUUUGUGAAGUGAAAAUAAGCAAGUGAUAGGUAACAUGUAGUAAAAAGGUAUGGUUUGAGAAAUGUGAAAAAAUGUGAUUAAAAGAGUAUGUAGGUGAUAAAAAAUGAAAGUAUGAUCCUAGAGGAAUGCAACAAGUCGGGUACGGGGGUUGACCCCUAACUUUUCGACUUUGAUUUACCCUUUGAUUAGAAGGCAAAACUAGCGUGCUAAGGCUAUCGGGUAGCCACACUCGCUCGUUUUCCUUAUCAGAAGGGGACCCUCAAGCAAAAUGAACCCUAUAGCUAGUAUGGGAUGCAAAACCUAAAAUGAGGGGAAAGGGAGUCGAGGAGCAUGCCAAGUGAUAAAACUAAGAAAAAUGCAUGAUAUGUGGUGAACAAACAAAUGAUAUGCUAAUGAGGGGAAAACCCUAAGAGUCUAGCGUUGGACUAGCCCAUUCUAUGAAUUCCGACUAGCGUUGGACUAGCGGAAACGUACAUUCAUCCAUUCCAUUCAUUCAUGGCUAUGAAAGCAAGUAGACAUGCCAAAAUACUCGUAAACACAUAGCACAUAGCAUUUAGCAUGCUCGACUAGAUGCAAGAGCCUAAUAAAGCAAUUUAACAUGUAGCAACAAAAACAAGCAAGCAAGGGGAAGGGGAAGUGGACCAGAUGCUCUCCGAGCCCUAUCUAUUACAAGCCAAGAGGUGUACACAUACCCCAUAAAACUUAAAUAAAAGCAACCAAGGGGAAGGGGAAAUGGACCAAAUGCUCUCCGAGCCCUAUCUAUUACAAGCCAAGAGGUGUACACAUACCCCAUAAAACUUAAAUAAAGGUAAAAGCAAGUAAAUACAUGCAAGGAGGUAAUGAAAGCGGAGUAGGCAUGCGUAUUCACAUAACACGUAGGAGCACGUAGGAAAAAUAACUCAAGAGUAUAGAAGUUACCUCCCUUGCAAUGGAAAUCGAGUAAAUGAGAUUAGCUUCAAAAUAAUAAAAAGGGUCAAGGUACCAAUUUAUUGAUAAUAUAAACAAAACCAUCAAAAUUCCCACAAUUGCAACUCAAAUGAAAUCACGCAGUGCAUAAUUAUCAAGAAGAGUGGAAUGACCCAUCAAAUUCCCAAAUAUGGCAACCACUAAUCUAAGCAAACACAAUCAAAGCCAAAUGAAUCAUUCAAGAUCUACAAAGGUCCCAAAAUAACAAAGCCCAGUAACGACUCAACUUGUACCCACCUUAGGACCCAGUUGGAAAGGAGAGGGAAUACGAGGGGGUCAGGACAUCUCAAAUUGACCAUUAAUUACACGAAUUUGGCCCAUCGAAAGCAUUUAAACAAUUGCACAACUGGUGAUUCACAAAAUUAGGAUUAAAUUGAAAAAGAAAAGAAAGAUUGAGGGAUCACUUUGAUAGAUUUUUCAAUGGUUUGGGCCAUAGUGAAACAAAGGUAUGCUCGGGGGGUCAAAGUGCAAAUUCAGAAAUUUAUUUCAUGCAUGCAACGUGAACUAAAGCCUUCAUUACUUCUGCAAUUCUGGUUUUCUUUCCUACAUGAUGUGCCGUGCUUCAUUUGUCACCGAAAUGCAUCACCAAAACAACUUGAACCGAAAUAAACCUCAAGAUGCAAUUCUAAUCAUUACCAAACUUAAUGCCACACUUUUAUUGCAAGAUUGAGGCAGCAAAACUGAGUUGAUUGACUGUCAAAGAUCAAGAAAAACAGCAAAAAAGAAUGCCGCCAGAAUUUCUGCAAAAGCUAGGAAGCUUGCUGCAAUUUACGUUUCCAAGUGCAGCUUUUAUAACUGAGAUUAUGUAUUUCAAAAAACAAACCUACAACUUUAGGCUAAACAAAACACAUGAUCACCACUAUCAAAACAAGCAGAAGACUUAGGACAAGAUCAUGCAAAAAUUCUGGAGAAUAACAAGGGUGGUUCAGCGAUUUGGUUGUUCAUUUUGCAGCAAAGCAUUGGAACAUGAUUCAAAGGUUUUAAGAACCCAAACAUGCCAACCCAAAACAAACUUCACCCAGCCAACUCUUCUCUCCACAUAAGAUCAGGCAUCAAGUUAGAUGGCCAAAAAUUUGGUGAACAAUUUGCAGGAAAGAAAACAGCAAAGAGUAAGACCGAAUGCAGCAACCUUUACUUCUCCUAUCUUGGUUUAAAUGUAUUGGCAUGGUUCAAAUGUAUUGGCAUGCAAAACUCAAACAAAUCUGGACAUUUCCUAAACAGAACAGCCACAGCCAAGGUAGUUCAAAGAAAAACAAACAACGGCAAGAAGUAAGGAAAAUGCAAUCUUGGCCGAAUAGAUAAAACUGCAGCAGAAUUUCUGCUAUUUAGCACUUUACAAAAUCCAGCUUUCGAAUGCUAUCAAAACCCAAACAAAACCCCCAUACAAUCCUCUCACCUUGCCACAUGAAACUUGUAGAUCUAAACACCAAAAAGUCGAACGAAAGGACAUGCAAAUCUGGACAGUUCAAACAAAUGUAUGCAAACAAAAACUCCAAGCAAACCGAAGCUUCUUUUUUUUGAAAUAUUUUCAGCCAACAUCCUUUCUGUAACUUGCGGUCGUUUCCUUUCUAUCAUUUCGGCACACACACGACUCAUUUAUAAACUCCAAUGAAGCAUGUAGAAACCUCAAACUGAUAGCCCCAAAACUCAAACUGACUCACUUAGGAUCUAAACAGCCGAAAACAUGAUACAAAAACAUGGCUUCAGUAACUACCGUCCACAAACGGAUGUUUUAUUCAUAUAGUGUCAGAGACAAAUAUUGACCAAAAUGCUAAAACUAAUGAACUGGGCUUCUGGAACAAAUCAUACCCAGAAAUUUAUGAAAUCAUACCAAAAUGCUAAACUAGAUUCGUUCAUGAAAACCCCUACAAAAUUUAUGAUUCCUUUUCUGCAAUUCUCAUUCAUACGUUUAAAAGAACUCUGAACGAAAUCAUGCAAAGCAUCUGGGAAAAUUGACAUUCUGGGCGCACGCAGCUAACAAGAUUCAUCAAAGUAGCAAUCUUUUGAACCAACACACACUUUUAAACCACUCCCAGCAUCAAACAGAUCAAAUGUUUCAUUCCAACGCGAAAUUAUAGUAGAAGAGUGGAACUUUUAGCUGCGGAGAAAGAUAAAAGAAACGGUUACCGUGAGAAUCCUAACACCAGAUUUAUGAAGGCCCGCGAACUUGCUGCGACCUUGAUGAAGAAUCCGCUGCUGGUUCCUCCUCUUUACUUACGUAACUCUGCUUUCUUCUUUUCCUCCCAAUCAGAAACCAGUCGCUCCUUCUUCUCCGUCACCUUCCGCUUCCUUUUUCCCUUUUCGCCUUGCUUCACUUAGCUAUCCCGCCGCCCCUUUUUCCUCUCAAACCUCUUUGUUAGAAACCCUCGCAGUCCCCUGCGUUUUUCCUUUCCAGAUGCCACCCUCUAUUCUCUCCUUCCCGAUCUCAGCCGCCCCUUUUUAUCUCUCGGCCCUUUUUCUUUUCUUUUGCUUGUGUUUCUAUCUCCCCGGACUCUCCCCCGUUUUUCAAAACUCCCCAGAUUAUCCCAGCUUUCUUUUCACUCUCUCUCUAGAACCUAGCCGUCACUUCACCCUUGCGGUUGGCCAAUCCUCUCCUCUCCUCACAGCUUCGUCUUUUCUUUUUCUUUUGUUUUGCAGCCGUCCACUCUCUAAAGCUCUCACUUUCUCGCUUCUCGGUUUUGCUUAGCCGUCGACCCCCCAAAAAUCUGCCUUGCGGCUGUAGCUCUUUUUCCUUUUAUAUCAUCUCCCCAACCUCCUAAACCCUCACCUCAACGAUGAGGAUGAGGGGCUUGUCACCCCCGUAAAAUCUAGCCCUCCGAUCGUCCCUUGUAGAUGUCCUUUGCACGCUGCAAAAAAUUGCAGCGUGCAUGCCGCGACAAGCUAUUUUUUUUUUUUUUUACGAAGAAAACAACUUGAAGAUUACAGAAGCUGUAAAUAAUAAAAUAUAAAUAAUAAUAAUAACAAAAUUACACAAACCAGGUAAUAAUAAUAAUAACAAAACAAAAAUAAUUUUAAACAAAAAAAAAAAACUAAACAAAAUGGCCAUUUUUAACUUUCAAUUUUCCUCUUUUCAUCAUUUUCUUUUUCUCAAAAUAACUUAAUAAAAAUAACUAAAGUGCAAAAAGGUUGAAUGUAAAGAAAUAAACAUAUUUUUGUGAACCAAUUUUUCCUUUCUUUUCCAUUGUUUUUUCCAAGAAACCUAAAAACCUAUUUUUUGAAUUUUUCUUUUCAAGAAAGCAUUGAAUAAAAACAAAAUGACUACAACAUAUUUUUGAUGCUUUUCUUUUUUUUCUUUUUUCUCUUUUUUUCAACAAAUUCUAUGAUAAAACUUAAAAAUAAAAAUAAAACUGGAAACUAAAAACUAAAAAUGAACACGACAAAUAAAAAAACUAAAAAUGAAAUUACACCAAAAAUUUGGUGUCUACAGCAAUAUCUUUAUCAAGAAACUUUCUAAUUAAUGUGCAAGUGAUGCUUAUAUACUGAUGCCAGGAAUUUUUUAAAUGUAUUUCUGAAUUGAUUAGCUGUGAAGUUGAUAGUGUUCAUUAUGUGAAAACCCGCAAGGACACCUUUGGGAAAAAGAAGAAAGAAAAAGCAAGGGAAAUAAAUGCAAAAGAAAAAAUGCAAAAAGAUUCGAUGUUGAAGUCCCUGUUGAGUAAUUAUAAAAGUCAAACAAAGGUCAAGAUCUUUGAGUCCAAAUUGGGGCAAUUCUGGAAAAAUACGAUCUUCAGUGCAAUGUCCUUGAAAGUCUUAUUCUUUAACUAUCAUUUUCAAGCCACAUUACAAGCUCAUAAAGUCCAUCGCUGACUUAUCCUUCAUGACAAUCCAAAGUGAGAAUUAUGCUCAUAAGAAAUCCAUCAAUCAUUUGUGAUCACAAGGGUAUAACCAGUUUUCACAUGUUUAGCUAUCGUUUCUAUCCAUAAGUUGCAAGCCUAUAAAGUUUAAAUAUUGACUAAGUUUUCUCAAAAAAUAAGAGUGACAAACUAUUUACUUUCACUAAGAUGUGAUAUUGAAUGGAGUACAUACAAUUUGGGCACAAGAAUAAAACAGAUCCUAACUUCCCAUUUUCCUUAGUCACCUCAAAAAGCAGAAAUAGCACCCACUUGAUUGGUCCUGAAAGACGUGCUAACAAGAAGUGGUGACCCAUUACUCUAAGCAUCGAUGCUAAGGUGAGAAAGAAAUCUUCUGUAAUUUGGUAUUAUUUCGAGAUAUUCCUCAUGAAAUUUUCUGUUAGGAAACAUAGUUUCUUACAUUGUUCAAAUAAAUGGAGAGUCAUCCAGACAAAUUUUUGCAAUUAAAUGGGCCCAUACUAGGGCAAAUUUUCAUUUGAGAGAUUUUGCAAAAUGGGCCCAUACUGGGGCAAAUUUUUAUUCAUGAGAUUUCACAAAAUAAGCCCAUACUGGGGCAAAAAUUUUUGUAAUACAUCUGAGAAUUUAAUCCAAGAAUCAAAUAAUAUACUUUCAAAUCAAUCACGCUACUCUUUUCAUGAGUAAUAGUUGCAUUAAUUUUCAAAAUAAGAAAUUUAAGUGCAUGUUGUACUUUGGUAAGCCCCUUGUGCAGGAAUUCAUGGCUUGAAAUUGAUGAAAAGGCGUAAGUCAGAAUCUUGGGAAUUAAGGCCUUAAGGAGGAGCAACCAUGCCGUAACGCAAAUCAAAUGAUCGGCUGCAUAAUAAUUGGUGGAAAUUGGAGCAAAUUAUUUUUGAGAAGAUUCUCCCAAAUGGAAACAUUGGAAAAAUCAAGGAAAAAAAAAAGAAGAAAAGAAAGAAAGAAGCACAAGACAAAACAAAAGGGGUGGAGGCGACCUUAGCGAAAACCCGAAAGGGCACUAAGUGCUUUCGCCAACACCGGACUCAGGAGCAGAGAUAUUUGAAAGGGCCAAGGCUGACGUUUCAUGCCAAAGGUUUUGCACAGUGUAUGAUCAUAAUCAUGGGAUUUGGGCAAGUGACAAUCUUUUGAUUUACUAAAAGCGCAAUUGGAUCUGUUCAUCCUUGGGAAAGCACAAUGGAACAACGAACUGCUGACAAUCUUGAUUCUAGACAGAGAAGUUUUGUUUCAAUGGAAUGCCAAAAAUUGAAAGCCUUAAAGUGGCUUGUUGUGAAAAUAGCUCGUCGAACAAAAAUGAAGAUCACGUUGGGCCUGAAUUUUGUGCCGCCAACAUCUCGUUGGGUUUGGACUUUAUGUCGCCAAUGCAACCAAGGCAGGCUCGGGUGUAAUCCCACUGACCAAUUCAUCAUACUGGGGCAAAUUAUUUUGGAAAUAAAAAAAAAAUUCAAAAAGUCAAAAAAAUUUAAAAAAAAAACAAAAAUCAAAAAUCAAAAGUCAAAAGUCAAAAGUCAAAAAAUCAAAAAAUUCAAAAAAAAAAAUCAAAAAUCAAAAAUCAAAUCAAGUUUCAUCACGGCAGGUUCGGGUUUAAUCCCACUGACCGAUUGUCAGAACAUUUUUCAUUUGCACUGCCACUAGCCAUGGGUCAGUCCCACUAGUGAGCAUUUCAUUUUCACUGCCACUAAACAUGGGUCAGUCCCACUAGUGAGCAUUUCAUUUUCAUUGCCGCUGAACAUGGGUUAGUCCUACCAGUGUGCAUUUUAUUUUCAUUGCCGCUAAACAUGGGUCAGUCCCACUAGUGUGCAUUCCAUUUAAAUUUCCUGUUUCAGGUCAGUCCCGAUUUUAAAUUUCCUGUUCGGGUCAGUCCAGAUUUUAAAUUUCCUGUCCGGAUCAGUCCCGUUUAAAUUUCCUGUUUCGGGUCAGUCCCGAUUUUAAAUUUCUAUUGGUCAGUCCCGAUUUUAAAUUUCCUGUUCGGGUCAGUCCCGUUUAAAUUUUCUGUUUCGAGUCAGUCCCGAUUUUAAAUUUCUGUUCGGGUCGGUCUCGAUUUUAAAUUUCCUGUUUCAGGUCAGUCCCGAUUUUAAAUUUCCUGUCCGGGUCAGUCCAGUUUAAAUUUCUUGUUUCGGGUCAGUCCCGUUUAAAUUUUCUGUCCGGGUCAGUCCCGAUUUUAAUUUUUCUGUCCGGGUCAGUCCCGUUUAAAUUUCCUGUUUCGGGUCAGUUCCGAUUUUAAAUUUCCUGUCUGGGUCAGUCCCGUUUAAAUUUUUUGCUCGGGUCAGUCCCCUUUUAAAUUUCUUGUUCGGGUCAGUCCCGAUUUUAAAUUUUCUGUUUCGGGUCAGUCCCGAUUUUAAAUUUCUUAUUUGGGUCAGUCCCAUUUUAAAAUUUUGUCAAAAAGGGUCAGUCCCUAUUUCUAAAGCGUCAGUCGUUCGAACAGUUUGCAGCCGAAUAACACAGGUAAGCAUUUGGUGUCUACGUCUUUGUCUCAAGUUUUUCCAAAAUUCAGACAAAGAGGGGCAAACUGUAGACACCAAAUUUUUGAUUUUUUUUAAACUUUGUUUAUUUAAUUAAUUAAUUAAUUUAAUUUUAGCUUUAUUUGUUCAUUUUUUUAGGUUUUUUAGUUUAUUUUAUUUAUUUUGUUUAUUUUGUUUUUGGUACUAAUUUUCAGGAAAAAAAAAAAAGAAAAGAGAAAAAAAAAGUAAAAAAGAAAAGUAAAAAAAAAUGACAAAUGGAGGGGGCAUGCAUAGGGAUGGCAAUGGGGCGGGGGUGGGCGGGGGAUCCUUCCCCUAUCCCCCGCCCCGUAUCCCCCGCGAAAAAAGAAAUUAACUUAUCAUAAAUAUUCAUUUACAAUAAUACAAUUAUAAAUAACGUUAAAUAAAAUUAAAUAGCUGUCAAGAUAAAAAUAAAGUAUAACAAGUCAAGUUACAUUCAUUCUAGUAUUCAAAAAAUUCGGUCGAGUUGAUUUCUCAUAUUCAACAAACUAAAAACACUCAACAAUAAAUUCAACUUUUCUCUUCAUUAAUAUAACUUAACAACUUCAGAACAUUUGCUCUUCGUCAACCUCGAGAUGUGAUAACUCACUUGAUAAAGCAAUCCUGACAUUUGAUGUUAAAAUAAAAGAAGAAUCUUGUCAACAGAGUAUAGUGUAUAACAAAUAAUUGGAGAAAAUCAAUUUAGAUGAAUCAAAUUUCUUUAAUACCUAUUCAGUAACACAAUCAACAUCAUCUUCUUCAUCAAAUAAUGUAUUACAUGACAUCCCUUCCGAAGUAGAAGAAGUAGCUGCACCAAAAAAAAUAGCCACUGAUUUACUAAAUAAAGAAAUGCAAAAAAAAAUGUAUAAAUUUAAAAGUAAAAGUUAAAUCUUUUGUAUACCAUUUAUUUCAUUCCAGAGCCAAGUGCGAGUACACAUCAAUGCUUCCAAGGUAUUAGCGUGAAGUUUACAUCGAUGAGGACUAAUUAUUCUUGCACAAGUACUAAAUGCAGAUUCAGAUGCCACACUUGAGACGGGUACAACUAGAAUAUCCUUAGCCAUUUUUUGUAAAGUGGGAUAUUUAACCCCAUGUGUUUUCCACCAACCAAGUAUGUCAAAAGUCGGAACUCUUGGUAACACAUUUUCCUCAAAAUAAAAAUCCAAUUCCGUCUUAGAAGUAACAUCCAUAGAGUUAGAAACCACAAACUUAUCAAAAUCAGCAAGGGGAUCCGUUUCAACUUCAUUCUUAUCAUGACUCCCACUAACAUGCUCACUAUGUGAAGCCAUGCACUGACUAUCAACUCUAUUUUCACCCAAACUAGAUCGGUAUUGAUAAUCAUGUAACAAAGAAUAACAAUUUUGACGAAUUGCUUCAAUUUUCAUGAAUGAUUCAUCACCAUAAAUGAUAGGAAAAUAAUACUCAAUCAACUUCAUUUUGUAUCUGGGAUCCAAAACUGCAGCAAUACCAAGUAUCACAUUACAAUCUUCCCAAUAUUUUUGAUAUUUUGCCAUCAUCUUUUCUGCUAUUACUCUAAUUAAACAAUUUGAAAUUUUCAUCCAUUGAGCCAAUGAUACCUUAAUGUCACAAACUUUUGCAAAAAAUUCAUUUGAUGUAGGAUAUCGAGUACCGGAGAACAUUUCAGUGACUUGGUAGAAUAAUUUCAACUUCUCACAAAUGGCAUUACAAACUACCCAAUCAUCAUCACUUGGCAAACUAGUGUAGUGUUUCUCACGCACUUUAACCCGUGGAAAUACGUCUUUAUAAAUUGCAGCUGUUUGCAACAUUAAAAAAGUCGAAUUCCAACGGGUUUUACAAUCCAAACACAACUUUUUACUAGAAGAAAUGCGCAAUUGGCGAGCCGCUUCUUCAAAAUUUUCAAUUCUAGCAGCAGAAGCAGUCCAAUACACCACAUUAUCACGAAUUCUUUCAAUACCACCCGAUAUCAUUUCUAAACCAUCUUUGACAAUCAAAUUUAAGAUAUGGGCAGCACACCGCAUUUGAAGCACUAAACCAUCUAUCAACAAAUCACUCACAUUCAACUUUUCCAACAAACAAUUAAUCAUGCCAUCAUUGGUGGAACAGUUAUCUAAGGUAAUCGUAGAUAUCUUACGAUCAAUAUUCCAAUCCAUCAAUGAACUAAGAAGCACAUCACUUAACACUUCUUUGGUAUGUGGAGCAGGAACAUAGAUAAACCUAAAUAAAAGAAAAAAAUAAGUUGCUCAUGUAUAACAAACAAUUAACAUAAUUCAAGUUUUUAACUUUUGAAAACAUACCUCAAAAUUUGACUUUGUAAGAUCCAAGACUCAUCAAUAUAAUGUGCAGUGAUAGCCAUGAAGCCUUUCUUUGUGUUGCUAGAAGUCCACAUAUCGGUUGUAACUGCUAUCUUACUUCCAAGCUUCUCCAAAAUAUUACAAUUCUUCAAUCUUUGCAAUUCAUAGAUCUUCAAAAUAUCUCCUUUAAUUGUAUUUCUUGACACAAGUUUAAAACAUGGCUGCAAACUCUUAACAAAUUUUUGAAAGCCUAUGUGAUCCACAAUAGAUAAUGGAUACUCAUGCAAUACAAUUGCAGAUGCAAGCUCAUGGCAUGACUGUGACGACUCCACUUCCCCCUAAGGCGAACCAGAGAGUUGGCGGGCCGUCUGCCUAGCUCUCGCCAGGACUCACACAAGUAAACUAUCCAACUCCUUUCGAAGAAUAACCUAAACUAUUACAACACCGUUUCCUUCCAAAUAGGCUGAAGACUAAAACCACAUUAACUUCAGAGAUAACAGCAUUUUUAAGAUAGCCAAUCGUCGACUCUUAAAUACCUUACGCGUUACAAACCAGGCAACAAAAACAUACAAUCCAAAUACAUUAGUACAAGCCAAAUAACAAUUCCAGGGUUUAUACUUUUCCAGCUUCCAGCGGCAAUCCAAAAUAAAAGUUACAAUGUUUAACUCAAACUACAUGCAUAAAAGUGAAAUUAGAUUUCAAGUCUUGCUCAAGUGUCAGGACCUGUCAAGGAAAACAAAUGAACGUGGGGUGAGCUAAAGCUCAGUGGUGCCCCAAAACAUGCAAUCACUUAAAUCAAACAGCGAGUAACAAUUUCACAAAUUGAACAAUUAGGAAAGCGUAUAACAGCACAAGAUAGGAUACAGGGCUCUCAGGAGCCAUUCUCCACGAACUUGAUCAAAAUUUUCCGUAGCCGACCCUCCGUCAACUUUCACUACCUAAGGUCCAUGUAGAUCUUCUUAUUUUUCUUAACUCCGGCCACCAAUCAUACCCCUUUACCAAGCCCGCACGACAAACACGAGAUUGGUAAUACUCGAGUAUACCUUAGGGACUGGUCGAGAAAUUCAUCCAACGACGUUGCGUCCAACAAGAGAUUGGGGACUAGUCGAGGAAUUCAUCCAACGACGUUACGUCCAACAAGAGAUUAGGGACUAGUCGAGGAAUUCAUCCAAUAACGUUACGUCUAACAAGAGAUUACCAGGUCAGGGUAAGAGUCCUUUCCACCAUUAAGGUGUAGUACACUCCCCUGCCUAGUGAUUAACAAGUGCAAGCAAGUAUUCAUGAAAACAUUUCAAGCAAGUCACCACUCGAACGGCUAGUGUGAUAAAGUACACACUGCUCACUUCGAUGGAUCAGAAACCAUUUUUCCAAAUAUCACAUAUCAAGUCAAGAAAGCACUUUAAUCAAGUAAGCAUAGAACAAGCAGGGACACUCACCAAGAAUGAAGUCACCAGUCAAGCUGGGAAUCAAAAUCUGCGUCCUCGCUAGAUCCUAGAAAACCAAGUUUUAAGAACUAUAAGUUUUCUAUCCAAGUUCUAGGUUUAUAAAUAUAAAAGAUUCUCUAGUAUAUAAAUAUUUUAUUUUCUCGAAAUAAUUCAACAAUCCACUUAAGACUAAAACUAGUAAAAGUAGCAAAAUAUUCCGUAUAGUUUCCUUAAAAAUACUUUUCUUUCUAGAGGUGCAACUAAAUCUAAUUUACUUGAAGUAAGUUUUCUUGCCGAGCAAGUUUUCUACGCUUUUUAGUUAAAAUUAUUAAAAUCUCGUAUUUUGUCAAUUUUCCUCUAGACAUCUAGCCAGGGACAAAUUUUAAGGAAAGAAAAGGAGGUAAAACAAGACUUAGGGUUUUUAGAAACUAGUGAAAUCGUUUUCUAAAAGUAAUAAGGUUAGUUUAAGCUAAAGAGAAAAAUAUCGGGUCGGCAAAGUUUAGAAAAUUUCUACACAGGACUUUCUAACGUUAACGUACAAUACCAAGUUUUAUCGUUCGAUACUAGACGAAGAUAUAUUUAAAUAGCUUGCUUAAAACUUUCUCAAGUUCACAGGACCAAAAUGGAUUUCUUACGAUUCCGAUUCACAAGCACGUAAUAUUUCAGAUUUGUCAAUAUAGCAAACUCACAUUUCAAAUAGAAAUCUCACUAGGGCUUCGUCAAUCAUUAGCCCUAGGUUUCAACAGAUUCAUUUCUGAUCAAAAAUUAAACAAAAGACCAAGGCUUCGUCAAUCAUUAGCUCUUGGUAUCCAACAUUCAUUUCUUACAGCAAUAUAGCCAAUAAUUCAACUGUUUAGAAUCACUAACAGGUACAUGAACACAGGGACAAAAUUUGCAACGCUAUCUUAUCCAAGAUUUCAACCAAAAUCUCAUUGUUUGUAACCAAAUGCAGAUUAAACAUUUUCCAGCAAUUUUUAUUCCAAAAUAUCCAUUCCAAUGCCAAGAAAUUCCAUCGACUAAACCGUUAGUGGUUUAUCCACCAAGUAACUUCCAUGUCAACAUUUCAGCCAUAAAAUCAAAUGGUCACCCCAAAAUUUCACAUGCAUGACCAUCUUAAUACAUUCUAAAGUGAAAUCAACCAACUAGAACUAAUAACAUGUAAUUCCAGCAAUUAAUUCCAUUAAAAAUUUAACGCUUGUGCAAAUCACUUAAAUAGCCAAGAACUCAACCCAAAAACAUGAAGAAUGUCAUGGCGGCUUAACUCUCAAGCAAUUCUAAAAAUUCAGAUUUCUUUCUUCUUUUCUUUUUUUUUUUCCACGGCUCAACAGCCACAUGCAUGGCUAUCUUACGAUAUUAUAAAGUGCAAUCAACAAGUAUAGGAUAUUUUACAGCGAAUCAAACUUUAAUGUAACAAUCUGGAACCCAAAAUUUGCAAAAGAAAUCUGGAAAAAUUCUUUCUUCUUCCCUCGGCUAAGCUGAGAAAUUCCAGCACUUUGCUUCAACAUUUUUGGUCUUAAAUCCGAAUUUACCUCGGUUGAAUCAUUGUGUUAAGUACCCAAAACUAACAUGCAAGGCUACUUAAUGAAAUUACUAUCAUUUCUAGUUCAGAUCAGGUUCGGACAGCAACUAUAAACAUCCACAAAUCCAGAAAUUCAUUCGGCUAUUCUCGGAUGAUCUUGCAUGCAGCAGAUUUUCUUGUUCAUUUUUAUUUCUUGCUUAACCGAGCUAAUGAGCUGCAUGCAAAGCUUAAUCAUCUUGUCUUAAGUUAGUUAAUCACAUUUAUAAGCUCAGAUUGCCUCAGGGAAACAAAAUUAAAGCUGCAUUUCCAUUUCAGCUUCUCGGCAAACCCAUUCCUUCCAAAUCAGAUUUUUCUAAUGCUUUGUUUUCAUCAUCUGGAAGCAUAAACUUCACAUGCAAGCUCUUAAACAGCUUCAUCUACCCAUAAUUAGCUAGCCUAAGUCUAGAAUUUACCUCAGCUGGAAGCUCAGCUCACGCAGCAAGAAGCUACAAUGUUUCUUUCUCGGCUAGCUCUCGGACAACACAGGAAUGCAGCCCGCCAACUCCCUCUCUUGCUCAAGCUUGUACGCGGAAUGGAAUGGAGGAUGAUCGUAGCUGGUUGAGGUUGAAGAAAGGAAUGGAAGCUCUAGGCAGUGAGGAAGAGGAUGAUAAAACUCACGCAGUUAUCUCUCACACUCACUCGCGAACAAUUUAAGAAAGCAACUUGCGCAACUUCCUCCCUUGCUCAAGCUUCUGAUCAGGUAGGAAAAUGGGAAGCUCGGCUCUUCACUCUCGGUCGAUAAUAACAAGGCAAAGAGAGAAUGUUGUUGUGGUUUGAGGUGUGAUGGUGGAGUGGAGAUGGGGUGCUGAAAUGAAGAUGAAUCGCGGAUGGAGAAGGUUGAGUGUUUGAGAGGAGAAAGGAAAUGUGAUCCGGCAGAAAUGGAAUCGUGAUUUUAAAAGGUUGGCCAAUGGAUCCUUGGUGGUUGCAUGGUAACUUCCGAGGUGGUGGAGGCUAUUUUACUCUUUUCACGUUUCCUCCGAAUUUUCACUUACGUCCUUAUUCUUAAUCUAAUUCCAAAAUUUACCCCAAUUAUAAUUUGAAUGCCUAAUAAUAUACUAUUCUCGCAAAGAUUCGAUUAUCGAGAUUUUAACGUCCUAAGUAUACUAAGUGCACUUGUAACGGUUUUGUCUAAAAUUUACCGACUUCAUCUUAUUGCUAAGGUUCCUAUUAACACUUAACAUUAUUAACGAUUAAAACUAGCUAUCGGAAUUCAAGGAAUUAAUAUUAAGGCGAUAAAAUAAUUUACAUCAAGAAAUAUCAAUUUAUCUUGGCAAGAAUCAAGUAAUUUCAAUAUUUUACACAAUUGAAUUGUUUGUAGCAUAAAAACUAUUUUUACGUGCUUAUUUAAGAACAAGUAAAGAUAGAAGUGGGAUUUAUUAAAAAAAAUCUAACAUGCAAAAGUAAUAUGUAACUGUAUAUUUAUUAUUAUUAUUAUUAUUUUAUAUAUAUAUUUUUUCGAGGUUCUCACAGUGACUGUUGUUGAUCGAACACAUGAUUGUGCAAUUCUUGUUUGCCAUCAUUCUUUUUACUACCACUUCGAAGUAACAUUUGCCUAAUAUCUUGUUUAGGCCUUUUAGCACACCUGUUGUAAUGAUCAUGCAAGGUACUCGUCCCAUGAGUGGUGCCUAUCUUGUAUUUUUUUUAACAAUACUUGCACACACCAUAAAAAAUGCCAUUUUCACCUUUCUCUCUAUCAAAAUGUGCCCAAACUUUUGAUUUUAAUUUUCUUUUUCCUCCUUCAAUUUCAUAUUCAUCUUCUUCUACUGUAUCUGUCAAGUCAAUUGAUUCAACAUUCCUUGAUUGUGGAGUUGAUGAAUUAUCCCUUUGUUCAGAUGCAAUUAGAUUUUCAGACUGAUUCAUCGUAAAAAGAAUUCUACAAAGACAAGAAAGCAAAUAGCAUAAUAAGUGGACUGCUCACAAACAUGAAAUAUAAAUAUAAUUUUUCACUUACAUUAAAAUUACAGGUCCUCUGUUUAGAAUCUAAAGGAGCACAAAUGGAUCAUUACUGAUCCGAAAUAUAUCAUUUGGAGUUAUUUCAGCAUUAUACAUAUAUCCAUGGCUAUCUUUUUUUUUAAUAAUACUAAAAUCUUAAACCAUUUAAUUGCCGUAAAUCAUUAGGCUUUCGUAUUUACAUUUUCAUUAAGGCUUUUCACAAACAUCUUAUAUGCACGCAAACAACUAUCCUUUGUUUGAUUAAUUUCGAAUUAAAGCAAACCAAAAAUUGUAACACAGUGCAUUUACAAUACUAAUACAAACUAACAAGAUAAAAGGGGGAAAAAUUAGCAGUGAAAUUUAAAUAUACAGAAGGUUAAAAAAGUGAAAGCAAAAGGACCUUCACUCUGCGCCUGUUUUCAAAUUUAGUACCCAAAGAAAUUACCUAAAGUCUCUCUGAGAUCUGGUCCUUAAUGAAAGUCCGUUUCUCUUCGAUUUGUUAAUUGACAAUCCGAGAAGACGACAAAUGCUCAGAGUGUUUCUGGAAGCAACGGAAGAUUGAUCCGAAAAGCAUGAAUAACACAAGCAAUGAUGAGCAGAUUCGUGUAUGCAUCAACCAUUUGAAAUUUAUAUUCAACUAUAGACAACAGCAUCAUGACACAUGAGGACAAAUCCUAUAGUUCUAUGGCAGCUUAAUUGGACUGGACGAUUAUUACCCAACCCAAAAAAAAAACAAAAAAGAAAGAAGAAGACUGGACGACCAGUUAUCAUCCCCUGUCGUAAUUUGUAAUUGCAAGCUUUGGUGCACUAAUUUAAGGGCAAAUAUAUCCACAAUUUUCUGGAUCUUCAACCUGGAAUUUCCUACUCCAUACUUUAUUUAUUUAUUUUUUUUGGUUUGGGGAGGUAAGAAGGUUUCCUUCUACACGCUUGAUACGACGACCGUAUUUGACACAAUUUGAAAAGUCAUGCAAGAAAAUAUUUGGCCCAAUAGUGGAGAUUUGGUCGAAGCAAAGAAACAAAUCAACAGAAAAUUACGUAGAACCUGGAAUUGGAAACUUCCAACUUGUCAAUCAGUUUCUUCUCACUUGCUGACGAAGAUAUGAGCUCGAUCUGGGAUUCUGGGUUGGGUAAAAUUUUAGAAGGAUUUAGACAGAGAAUGGGUUUAGUUGAGUAGUGAGUAGUGACUGAUUACUGAUUAGAAUUGAGGGAAAUAGGAGGUGACGGCGGUGGCUGCCCUUCUGCGAAGGAGGGAAAAAUGGGAACGGCCGAAUGGGGGAUAGAUAAUUAGGGCUUUUGUUACUUGACUUACACUUACUUCUGUGUAUUAAUUAUAUAUAUAUAUAUAUAUAUAUAUAUUUUGCGGGGGACGGGGCGGGUGUAUGUUGCCCCAUCCCCCGCCCCGUUUUAAGGCGGGGGUAAAAUAUUUACCCCCGCCCCGCCCCAUUUGUACCCCUGCGGGAACCCGCCCCCAUUGCCAUCCCUAGGCAUGCAUGGGGACAAGUGUCCCUUUGGUUUUUUAACAACACAUCACCUAGGUGGCAAGGUGUUUAGACACUUGUAGGAUAGGGAUUUUGAAAAGAAAAAACAGAAAAGAAAAAGGAUGAGAUGGCGGACUAAAAAAAGAGAGAGAGAAAAAAAGCUGACGGGGGAAAAAGGGAGGAGGUUUCUGGUCUGAGAGCUGGGUGGAGAGUAAAAGAAACAGAGGGAGAAAAAUAGAGAGGGGCGGCUAGGUUUUGGGCAUGAAAGCUUCGGCGAACCGAGGAAAAAAUCAGAAAAAGGAAGAAGGAAGAAAGCUGGGGAAGACAGAGGGCUUUCAGCUGAAAAGGGAAAGAAAAACUAAGGAAAAAAAACAGAAAGAACGGAGGGCGGCUAAGGGUGAUGAUCUGGGCAACGAAGGAGCUGGAAAAAGCUAAGAAGAAAACCGAGAGAGCUCUCGGACGGAGGACUAAGUAGGAAAUGGCAGCAGCAGCGCCGCCACCGCCUUCAUCCCCUGCUGCCAUUCCUGAGACCAGCAUUCCAGAAACCGCCGUCGCUCACCGAGCCAUCACCACCUCGUCGGACAUCCAUCACCAUCGUCUGCAAAUCUUCAACCGAACAGAUGCGGUAAGUCAUCUUCCUCCCUUUAAAAAUUCUGUCUUCUCUUCCAGCUUAGACCCAUAAGAAUCUCAAAACAGAGAUUAGCUUAUUGUGAUUUUUAUGUUGAUUGUGCGCAAUUUUGAGCAUACUUGCUUUCUGUAUUGAUUGGGAUUGAAUGUCUUUAUGUUUUCUUACCAAUUCUUGGGCUGAUUAACUUCAAAUUGAACAAAGAAUCGGUGAAAUUUCUUAUACUCAUUUGGUGUUCGACGAAAUGCCCAGCUAAAAAUUCUUAUUGAAAGAUUCUUUGUUUGCAUUUUUUUUUUCGUGUGAAGAAAUCGGUUAAGUUGGUCAAUUCGUUUCCUCCCGUUUGAGAAAAUUUUGAUGCAUUGCUGUCUUCCAUUUUUCCGUCUCUCAUGAUUCCGGUCGAAUGAACUCAAACUGAAAUGGUAUGAGAAGAAAUUUGUGUGAUUUUCAUGUUGAUUGAAAAAGGCUAGAAUAAAAACUGAUUUCUCGAAUUGGCUCUGUUGUAAGAAAGAUAGAAGUGUCGGAUUGAUGUCUGAUCCGUGGGGAAGAAGACCGAUUGUCCAAAAUUGCAAUUUCAGUCCCUCCAUUUUCUUUUUGUUUUGUGAUUUGGUCCUGGAUUUUCUGAGCUUCAUAAUUUGCCUCCAACACCUUCAUAAGUUCUUCAAUUAGGUCCCUGCUUUUGUUGCAUUUGAACCCCUCAAGCUUCCCCUUAUUCUGCUAUGGCCCAAAGCUUGGAAUAAUCUAACCUAUUUCGCCCUUUUUAAGUUUAACCCACUUUUUACAUGUUUUAUGUGAUUUUUGGAUAGAUUAAUGCUGGGAUUUGAUGCAUAAUUAGAGGUUAGCAAACUUUAGUUGGGUUUUUAUCUUGUUGGGUUUCAUAAAAUAAAAUUAGGUUUGGUUUGGACUUGUUGUUUGGGUUUGACAAAUGGAUUAAUGACUUGUUUUUUCUGGGUUGUUGACAUGGGUUGGAGAGAUAAAGCCCAUAUGUUUUUAGUUGAAUUUUGUUUUGACUCAAAAUAGGCUGGCCUGCUUGCUCUCUCAGGGCUUCCGAUUGGGCCAAGUGAGUUUUGGCCCAAACAAAUAAAUAAAAUAGCCCAGUGGCCUGAUCCAUUAAGAAAUUAGAGAACGAAUUUGCAGAAUGGUCCUCGGACUUUUCCUUAAUUAUGCUAUGGCCCUAAAACUUUAGGCAUUUUCCAAUUGGGUCCCUAAAUUAAUUGCAAAUAGGUCCCUGAACUUUAUUUUUUUAAUAUUUGACCUCAAAACUUUGUUAAUUUUUGCAAUCAAGUCCUUUCUUCUUUUGACUUCUUAAAUGUGGGUUGUUUAUAUGAUUUAAUUGAUUCAAUUUCACAAUUCAUUUUUAUCUUUUAUGAUUAUUUGUUAAUUAAAGUGAUGCCUUGACCUUUUCUUUGUAUUUUGGAGGGUAAAUAAGUUACUUCACUUCAUUAGAGCCCAACUCAAGAGAGGUACACCCUAUCCCUUAUUUUGACUUAUUUGAUCCUAUGUGCACUUAUGUGAAAUUAUGUGUGAAAUUGCAUGUUUCUUUUUGAAUAUUCUCAUUAAAUUUGUUCAUUUAGUUACUUUAUUUGUUUUAAUUUUGUAUAUUUAUUUUAAUUUAAUUUGUAAUUAUUUGAAAGGGCAAUUAAAUGCCACAAUUGUAAUAGUUAGGUUAUUAUAUCAUUUUAUUCCUUCCCCCCCUUUAGAUUGUAGUAGGGUUCCCCGAAUGUAAUAGUUAAGGCUUUAUUUGCUUUAUUUGCCUUGUGUGUUUUUGCAUGCCUAUGUGUUAUGUUACUCGCUUUCUUAGGAUCUUGCAUUUAGACAUCAUGCUUAUGUGUUAUGUGCUAUAUGUGAUUUAUGUGUUUAUUUGCUUUAUUAUGCUUUAUCUGAUUUCUUAGACUGUAAUAAAUGCAUGUUAUCACACUAGUCCAAUGCUAGCUGUGAUUUCUUUCCCGUCACCACACUAGUCCAACGCUAGUUGUGGCUCUUUGUUCCGAUUUCCCACUAGUCCAAUGCUAGUGAGGAUCCAUAGACAUGGGCUAGUCCAAUGCUAGACCCUUAGGGACCUCUCUCGCUAGAUCAUGUUUGUAUGAUUACAUUACACUUCAUGCAUAUCUUUCCGUUUUUUUAGGAUCUUUAUCAUUUUCACAUAAUAUUUCCCCUAAUAAAAUAUCCCUUAUCCCUAUGUAUAUAUAACAUUUAGAUUUGCAUCUCAUUUAGGAAAUUAGGGGGUAGAUUAGUGCAUUUUGCCUGAUUAGACUAGAGAUAACCCCUUAAAUAUGGGAUAUGGACGAGUUUGGCUUUCUAAGUCUUAGCACGCUCGUAUUCCCUCUAUUAAAGGGAACAUUGAAAGUCACGAGCAUAAGUCCCCGCACCCAUCAUGAUGCAUUCCUUUAGGUCAUACACAUUUGUAUAUUAUUAUUUUCUCUACUUUUCCUUUCUUUCGAGUCUCAUGACUUGCAUUAUUCGUGACUUCUUCGAAGAGUUUUUAUUGGGCGUCACAAUUAAUGUGAUUGGUACCAAGUAAGUUUUGAAGAUACAUUUCGACCCCCCGACACCCUCCUAGGUCUAGGGUAUGCAUUCAUAUAGUACAUCCAAAUGUGAUAAAUCUUAAGGGUAAAAUAAGAAAAUCUUUGACUAAAUUGCGCAACUAGCCUUGGCUAGGUUGAAAGGAUACCUUGGAUUCUUAUCCUUGCCUUCCCUUUCUUCAAAUGUGACUCCCGAAUCUUUUUCUCUGAUUUUUGUAGACUUGGAGUCGUUUAAAAAGGAUUUUUCUAAUUUUUCUUUAAAAAUUCAUUUUUUGGUGACUUGAUACACCUUAAUUCUAUACCAAGUGGCGACUCCAAUUUUCAUUCAAAAAAACCCUUUUUAAAACUAUAUUUUGGGUCAAAUCGUCGCAUUUUCAAGUCCCAUUUAGACCCAUGUUUUUCAUUCUCUUCUUAAAUAAAAAAUUCAUUUUCCAAUCAAAAAUUGAACCAAAAGCAAUUUUUCUAAACUCGUCUUUUAUUUUUCUUUAUAAAAAAUGGGGCGCAACAUCACUAAUAGCAGCAAGAGUUAAAUCUACCUUGUAUAUAAGAAAAGAGCCAGGUUUAGUGUUUUCCUUUCCACUUGCCACAUGGCUUCUUAAUUAUCUGACAAGUGGCAAGGUAAAAUGUUUCUUGCAAAUUGUCUCAAUCUAUAAAGCUUCUCUUGUCCGAAACCUUCUAUUUCUUUUCCUUCUUUUGCCAUUGCACUGCUACUGUAGCAUGCUGUCUCAUUGACACAUGGCACUCUUGGUGAGUUUUUUUCAUUCUUUCCUUUUCUUUUUAUAGGCAACGGUAGAUAGAUAGAUUGGACUGCAUUGCACAAUGACCAAAUUUGGUCUGGCCUUGGCAUUCAAGUAUGAGGUCCAAUUAUUUUUAUUGGAUUUUUCAAUUUGUAAGCUUUUGAUAGAUGUAAUUCAAUUACUGUUGACCUUGGUUGAUCAGUCCUUAGUUUUGAUGAUUAACAAACCAAAAUGUAGAUUUGGGCUAAUGUUUUUAUGUGAGCAAUUUGUUAGAACAGAUUCUUGUGGCACAAAAGAAGAAGCAAAAACAGGGCACUCAUGUGGGACGUCCGAAAGGAAGCUAUCGGACGUCCGAAAGGAUGAAGAACUCGUGAGGAAGCAUCGGACGUCCGGAUGGAUCGGACGCAUGCUUCGGACGCACAUCAAUAUCAUCGGACGUCCUAAAAUUUCCACGAAGAUUUGAUAACUCUCUGGACGACGUUCGGACACUGAAGCUCGGACGAUAAAAUCCCAUCGGACGUCCGAACAACAACUUGACUGAUUUUCGGACGAUGGGAUCAGACGAUGACUAAGCUGUCGGACGUCCGACAGGCCAACGGCUAGUUUUGACAGCAUUUAAUAUUUGACCGUUGGAGAGCCUUUUGGAGCCAUUUCUCACCUUCUAUAAACACCCCAAAGCACAAGAAGACAGUAGACUUUUGCCAACACAAAAUACAAGCUUACAAGUGAGAUUUUUGAGUAGAAAGAUUCUUUGUUGGUUGUAUAAGGGGUUGGGAAAGUUGGGUUGUGAGGUUGCUCAAGUGAAGGUUACUCUCUAGGUGGAGUAAAACCUUGGUGAAGGUGAACCUAUCACUUGAAGUGGUAAAACCUUGGUGAAGGUUGCCUCAUUUGUAUAAAAUAGUUCUAAAUUGGGUGUGUGAUCUUUCAAGUGUAGGUUGUUGAGGGUUAACUAGAAUAGUUGUAAAACUCCUUGGCUCAACCAAAGUGUGUUUGGGGUGAGGAAGGAGUGAGCCUUCACUUGUACAUCUUGGUUAGCAUCGCCAUCAAUUGAAGAGGCUAUUGGUUUGAUAUUUGGUUUGCAUUUCUUAUAUUUUCUCUUUAAUUAAGUUUUCUUUAUUGUGCUUAAAUUUGAUAUAUCUUUGUGCAUCAUUGUGAAUUUGUUUGUACUCAUUGGGUUGCACCGGGCACUUACAAUUGGUAUCAGAGCUUGGUCUCCUUGAGACUAAGCUCAAUCGGCUUGGAGUAAAGAUCAUGGCAACCAUAAAAGUUUCCUUUUUAGAAGGGCAAUCUAUUGAUAGACCACCUAUGUUUAAUGGUUCUCAUUUUAGCAUGUGGAAACAAAGAAUGAUGAUUUUCUUACAAUCCGUUUAUAUUGAAUUAUGGUAUGUGGUAGAAGAUGGUCCUUAUGAAGCUAGAAUAGUUGACUCUACCACCAAUUUGAGUAGAUUAAAGACUAGACAAGAAUUGAAUGAAAAAGACAAGAGAUACCUUUCUUUGAAUGCCAAGGCCAUGUGUAUAUUGUACAAUGCAUUAGAUGUAAAUGAAUCUAGUAGGAUUAAAGGUUGUAAAUCAGCUAAAGAUAUUUGGGAUAAAUUGUGUGUAUUUCAUGAAGGUAACCAAGAUAUUAAAGAACAAAAGAAAUCUUUGCUUGUUUCUCAAUAUGAAUUUUUCAAAAUGCAUCCUCUUGAAAAUGUUGAUGAGAUGUGUAGUAGAUUUUGUGACAUUAUUGAAGAUCUUAAAUUGCUUGGAAAAGAAUAUUCUUUGGGUGAGAAAAAUAGAAAGAUUUUGAAUGCCUUGCCAAAAGAAUGGGAAAACAAAAUAAAUGCUAUAGAAGAGGCAAAGGAUUUAAAUUCUAUGUCCAUUGAAUCUCUUGUGGAUACCCUAACCUCUUAUGAAUUAAAGCUGAAAUUCAAAGUGCAAGAGGAAGAAAAUGCAAGAAUGUAUAAGAGAGGCAUAGCUUUUAAAGUAUCUCAAGUGGGGGAUAACCCAUCCUUCAUGGGUAAUGAAAUCAUGGAAGUGGACAAUGAUAUAACUCCUCACAUCAAAAGUUUCAAGAAGAUCUUCAACAAGAGAUGUUCAAGAGGAGAUUGCAAAAUUACAUGGGAUGAAUGCAAUUCAAAAAGAGAAAAAGAAGAGUUGGCCCAAAUGGCACUAAUGGCCGUUGGAGAAGAUGAGGUAAGUUCUUAUCACUCUUCUUGUGAUGAAGAUAAUGAAGACGAUGAUGUGAAAAUUCUUAUGAUUAAAAUGCAUAAAAGUUUGAGAAAAUCUUAUGCUAAAAAUAAAGAUUUGAAAACAAAAAUAAAUGAUUUGUUGGAAGAAAACUCCAAACUUUUUCAAGAAAACAAAUGUUUGAGAAUGGAAAAUGAUGAUUUAAAAAAUCAAAAAAGUGUUUUUGAUUGCAAAAAUAAUUUGAAAAGGAAGUUGGAAGAGAAAACAAAGUUUUAUGAAAAAAUGUUGGAGGAACAAAAUGUGUUAAAGAAAAGAAUUAAUGACUUGAACGAGUUUCUCCAAAAUGAAAAACAAAAGUUUUCUCAAACAAAAGAAAGCAAAUCUUUUCAAGGCACAAAUAAGUUUGCUAUGAUAAGAAGUAAGAAAAUUAGUUGCAUUAAAUCCACUUAUGUGCAAAAUACUUCUAUCAUGUGUCACUUUUGUUGUCAAUUUGGACAUAUGCAAAAUGAUUGCUAUGUAAAGAAAAAUAUGAGAAAAUGUAUGAAAUCCAUGUGGAUUGCUAGAUCAUGUUGUACUAACUCCCAAGAACCCUAUAAAAAAUUACAAUUGGUAUCAUGAAAGUUUUGUCAUUCUAUAUGGUCUUGAUUUGAAAAAUAAAGGGGGAGUUUGCUUUUUGAUUGAUGUCAAAAGGGGGAGUAGGAUUUAUUGAAAUUUCUUUGUAUGUUGGCAUUUUCUAAGAACUUAUUUGAUCAAAGAAAUCUUCAUUUUGUUUGUCAUCAUCAAAAAGGGGGAGAUUGUUGACCUUGGUCGAUCAAUCCUUGGUUUUGAUGAUUAACAAACCAAAAUGUAGAUUUGGGCUAAUGUUUUUAUGUGAGCAAUUUGUUAGAACAGAUUCUUGUGGCACAAAAAAAGAAGAAAAAACAGGGCACUCAUGUGGGACGUCCGAAAGGAAGCUAUCGGACGUCCGAAAGGAUGAAGAACAUCAGGAAGGAUAUUCUGUCGGACGCUCGUGAGGAAGCAUCGGACGUCCGGAUGGAUCGGACACACUCUUCGGACGCACAUCGAUCGUGUCGGACGUCCUAAAAAUUCCACGAAGAUUUGAUAACUCUCUGGACGACGUUCGGACGCAGGGUUCGGACGUCCGACAGGUGGUUUGGACGCAGGGUUCGGACGUCCGACAGGUGGUUCGAACGUCCGACAGACCAACGGCUAGUUUUGACAGCAUUUAAUAUUUGACCGUUGGAGAGCCUUUUGGAGCCAUUUCUCACCUUCUAUAAACACCCCAAAGCACAAGAAGACACGGGACCUUUUGCCAACACUAUAUACAAGCUUACAAGUGAGAUCUUUGAGUAGAAAUAUUCUUUGUUGGUUGUAUAAGGGGUUGGGAAAGUUGGGUUGUGAGGUUGCUCAAGUGAAGGUUACUCUCUAGGAGAAGUAAAACCUUAGUGAAGGUGAACCUAUCACUUGAAGUGGUAAAACCUUGGUGAAGGUUGCCUCAUUUGUAUAAAAUAGUUCUUAAUUGGGUGAGUGAUCUUUCAAGUGUAGGUUGUUGAGGGUUAACUAGAAUUGUUGUAAAACUCCUUGGCUCAACCAAAGUGUGUUUGGGGUGAGGAAGGAGUGAGCCUUCACUUGUACAUCUUGGUUAGCAUCGCCAUCAAUUGAAGAGGCUAUUGGUUUGAUAUUUGGUUUGCAUUUCUUAUCCUUUCUCUUUAAUUAAGUUUUCUUUAUUGUGCUUAAAUUUGAUAUAUCUUUGUGCAUCAUUGUGAAUUUGUUUGUACUCAUUGGGUUGCACCGGACACUUACAAUUACAAAUUAUUAUUAUUAUUAUCAUUAUUUCAAUUUAUAUUUAUUAUGAUGUCAAUUUGAGAGAGUAUUUUUCCGAUCAUCGUAUUUUCAAAAACAAAAAGAAAUAUUUAAAAUUGAUUUCAAGCUCUAGGUCUUGGACAGAUGUAAUCCAAUUAUAAUAUUAUUAUCAUUAUCAUUAUUUGAAUUUAUAUUUAUUACGAUUUGAAAUAUCAUUUAAACUUAUAUUUCACAGAUUAACUUGACUUUAUUAAAAAUCAUAGAAUUCUAUUCGUCUUUUUGAAAGUUUAUAUUUUUUUUUAUUUUUUUGCUACGUUGUUUAUAUAACUUUUGCUAUUUUAGAAGCCGUCAAAAAAUGAUAGAAAAAUUGUCACAUUUUCAAAAAUUAAAAGAAAUAUCCAAAUUUGAUAGCAAGAAUUUUAUUAUUUUAAUCUACAUGCUAAAAAAAUAUUUAAACUUUCUUAAUCAAACCUUGGCUAUUUUUGAACUCGGAGGAAAAUAAAAAGAUAUCUUCAAAGUGGGAAAAUGAUAAAAAGAAAAAGAAAAGAAAUUGGUUCCAAUUUGUUAUAAAUGCAAAAAUGAAAUAGCCAACUAAUAGAAUAUACACUUUCGAAUCAAUUUUAUUUUAAUUUAUUGAUAUGUGAACAUUUGUCUUUUAUUUUGACAAAAAAAAUUUUUGUUGAACAAAUGAAUGCAAUAAUUUCUGAAUGACAAAAAAAUAUGCAUUUGUUUUUUUAAGGAAUGGUAGGGUAAAAUGUUUCUUGCAAAUUGUCUGAAUCUAAAGCUUCUCUUGUCCGAAGCCUUCUAUUUCUCUUCCUUCUUUUGCCAUUGCACUGUUUUUUUCUCAAAUUGCCGUUGAAUCACUUCGUAGCAGCAGAAAAAAGGAAGAAUUCACUGGUAAAUUCAAACCAAGUACAAUCCCUAAAAGAAGCUGAUUCUUGGGGCAAGUGUAAUCACGUGCAUGUGGAGGGUUUUUGUGGUUCUAACCGAAAGAAAGUACAAUGCUUUGUUCAGAAAAUUGGUAGAACAGUAGCAUCUUUUGUAGGUUCAUAUUCGGCUAUCUGAGUGGAAGAAACGGAGAAGAGGAGAUUUUGCUACCAAACCCAGUAGAUCAACACCCCUCUUCAAGCCUUCUAUUUCUUUUUCUUCUUUUGCCAUUGCACUGUUUCUUUCCCAAAUUGCCGUUUAACCCUUUUCCUCCUUUCUCUCUACCACACGGCUCUUCUGAGCACAAAUUCAGCGCAUUUAUCCUCAGCAAGUCCAAUUCCAGCCGUCUAUGCUACCAAACCCAGCAAGUCAACAACCCUCUUCAAACAUGUAAAAAGUUUGGAUAUGACAACAGAUUAUAGGGGCCUAGGCUGUGCUUAGCACAGCCAAUAACCUCCUAGUUAUAUAAGAAGAAAGUGGAGUUACUAUAUCAAUGCCAAUGAUUGCCAAGUGGAUCUCUCUCACUUUGACACGUGGUUCAUUCAUUUUCUUUUCUUCAUUUUGCUUUGUUUUUUCUUUUGCUCACUUUAUUUCCUUUCUCUUUUUUGGCUAAAGAUAAUUAAACAAAUCCUCAUAUACAUUGCAGGUUUCUUAUUUAGUUUCCACUUUGUACUCUUUUUUUUUCCCUAUCAUCCUAAUCAUUUAUUCUAUUUUUUCUCUAUUGGAUUAGUUGAUGCAUUACCUUUCAUUUUUGUCCAUAAUUAACUAAAUGAAUGGUUUCAUUAUCAGAGAUCAAGAAUGGGUUUGAUAUUUCCUUUCUUCCAUAGUCCAAUAAUUACGAUUCAUGAUCUUCUACUUUUACUGUCUCUCUUUGGUAUGUACUAUUUGAUAUUUUUUUUGUCAUCUUUUGCGUCUUGAUCAGAAACCUUUGCUUAUUGCUUUUCUCGCCUCUUCCUUCUUCAUCUGACUUUCUUUUCUGCCCAAAAGAGGUAUGUGAUCUGUGAAUAUUUUUUCCCCAAAUCUAAAGAAACAUUUUUUUUUCAGUUUUUUAUAUUUUAUUUAUUCUGAAACUACUUUUUGAUCUUUUUAUUUUUGGAAAAUAAUUCCCUAAGGCUGAUAACAAAACGGGUGGUGAUUACAUGAAGAAUUUUUAGGCUAGCAAUGAAAGAAUUGUAGCUACUUUUCCCCGAUAAAAUAAAUAACACCAUUAUGCAGAUUCAUUCUAAUUUUAAUUUUUUAUAAGAAGAAAGUGGAGUUGCUAUAGCAAUGCCAAUGAUUGCUAAGUGGAUCCCUCUCAUUUUGACACGUGGUUCAUUCCUUUUCUUUUCUUCAUUUUGCUUUGUUUUUUCUUUCGCUCACUUUAUUUCCUUUCUCCUUUUUGGCUAAAAAUAAUUAAACAAAUCCUCAAAUACACUGUAGGUUUCUUAUUUAGUUUCCACUUUGUACUCCUUUUUUCCCCCUAUCAUCCUAAUCAUUUAUUCUAUUUUUUCUCUAUUGGAUUAGUUGAUGCAUUACCUUUCAUUUUUGUCCAUAAUUAACUAAAUGAAUGGUUUCAUUAUUGGAGAUCAAUAAUGGGUUUGAUAUUUCCUUUCUUCCAUAGUCCAAUAAUUAUGAUUCAUGAUCUUCUACUUUUACUGUCUCUCUUUGGUAUGUACUAUUUGAUAUUUUUUUUGUCAUUUUUUGCAUCUUGAUCAGAAACCUUUGCUUAUUGCUUUUCUCGCCUCUUCCUUCUUCAUCUGACUUUCUUUUCCGCCCAAAAGAGGUAUGUGAUCUGUGAAUAUUUUCCCCAAAUCUAAAGAAACAUUUUUUUUUUCAGUUUUUUAUAUUUUAUUUAUUCUGAAACUACUUUUUGAUCAUUUUAUUUUUGGAAAAAAAUUCCCUAAGGCUGAUAACAAGACGGGUGAUGAUUACAUGAAGAAUUUUUAGAUUAACAAUGAAAGAAUUGUAGCUACUUUUCCCCCAUAAAAUAAAUAACACCAUUAUGCAGAUUCAUUCUAAUUUUAAUUUUUUAUUUAUUAAAAUUGUUAGUUGAUAAUAGGGUGAUAGUACUAGAGUAGAGGAGAAAAAAUCUAAAAAAUGAAAAUCCAAGGUAAACGAUGAUCAGGAAGAAAAUAAUGAUGCCUAUUAAAUUAAAAAUUAAUCAGAAUCUCUUAAUUUAUGGAUAGGUAAUUAUAUUUUAAUUUAUAUAAAGUUUAUUAAUGGUGAAAAAUGCUUAUAAACUGGAUAUGGUGGAUGACGUGUAAAAUAAUUGUUGGGGCUAGCAAUUUAGAAUGUGAAGAUAAUAUUUUGUAUCUCUUCAUUCAACAUUUUGAAUUACUAGCUUGUAUCCAUGAUAGGUAGUUUAUUUUCAUGGUUUUAAUUUUAGCAAAUGAUAGCUUGAAAAUAAAAGAAAUGUAAAAUUAGAUUUCAGAAUCUUUUACUUAAACAGGUUCUAUAUGACUUUGUACUCUUAUCCUUUUUUAUUGCCCAUAAUGAUAGAUAAUAUAAUUAGAGUUUGAGAUGAUUGCUAGGCAUGGAACUGGACAUAUCAUUACUAUUUGGCUAAAAGAGUUAAUAAUAUUUUGUCAAUUUGACUAGCUAAAACGAUUGCAGUUGUCAAAGGAAUGCAUUUGGUGGUGGAAGUUAGCAUUGAGGCUUUUAGCUUAGAGCGUCACUCGACAAAAUUUUAUUAGAAAAUUCUGUUUUGAUUAAAAAGACAUAUUUGCAAUCAAAUAAAUUGUUGGAUUUGAAUUUGCAUAUGUAGAUUUAGAAACAUGGCAAUUCAUGUUUUUAUUUAAACUUGCUAUAUGUAUUCUAUAACUAUUUGGUUAGAUAAUGUUUUCAUCUAUUUGUAAUGCUAUUAAUCAUGAUUUAAAUGGAUGGAUUAACUCACUCUUUCUCUCAAAAAAGAAAGAAAAUAUGCAAGUUUGUAUGUUUUUUUAUUGAUGUUGAAGAUUGUGACAGGUUUUGGUGGCUUUCUAUAUUUUUUCUAAUUAUUAAAAUGUUAGAAACAUUAUGACUACUUUUUAUUUAAUUACAACUAAAACUAUACUGCUAUUAAACCGAUAAUGCACUCAUAAUGGAUUUGCUUUCUUUUCAUUUUUGGUAUCAUUACGUACACAUAAUAUUGGUUAAAAACUCUUUGUCCAAAUCACAAUAAAUUGGGGUUAACUUUAUAGAUGGAAUUUCUUUUCACAGCAAAUUUUAAUUAUUUUUAUACUUAAUUUUUUUCCUAUAUUUCUAUUCAUUAUGUACUAAAACAUUUGUUAUUAUGUAUUUAACUAAUGUUCUAGAGGGCACAACCGAGGUACCUCUAGUAAUUAAAAUAAAAGGAAAGCUAGCCUUUUUUAGAGUCAUGACAAAUGUCACUAUUCUAAAGUCGUAAGGACCUUCAUACGUACAGGUUCUAGCUAUCAUCCAUAACUCCAAAAUAAAAUUCAAAUGUAGCUUUUCCUCUUCAAUGUACACGUACAUAGAAUUUACCAGUCUAAUUGUUCAAUUGAUCUACUCUACCAUAAUUACUGAACUUAGAGAAUUCUUUAUAGAAGUAGAAGAAUAGCAGAAGAGAUAUAUAUUGUUGUCAAUCGUCUUCACAUAUGUCUACUAUUUAUAGUACUUAUUAGUCAUUGGUUUCAAAUUUGGUUUAUCCUAAAAUAUUUGUCAUGGUUUCAAUACAAAUAAUAAAGCCCAACUUUUCUACUAUAUCUUUGAUACAACUUCCAAGAAAAAGCAUUUAAAUUAUAUUUUCCUAAUAAAUCAUGUUACAGACUAUUUUUGUAAUUUAGUAGUUGUGCCUUUUUUAAAAUUUCAAGCUCAACUAACAAGAUGUUGAAUUUUAAUUGAGGGCACUAAUGGAAAGACUUACUUUAAUAGUUGAUGAGUUCUUAAACUAUGUACAAAGUUAAUCAUGAUAUAAAAAUAGGACGAAGGACGUAAUAAAAGCCACAGAAGUAGUAAUAGGUUCCUAAGAUUGAGAUAAUUAUCGAUAUCAUAACGGCUAGUUAAUGGCAAGUUUAGUUAGCUAUUUUAUUGUAGGAUUUAGUUUACUAACAAAAGUGAAGAGAAUUGACUAAGUAAAGAUACUUGACAAAGUAUUAUCGGAAGCUUUAAAGCUUUACUAACAAUUCCCCACAAGGUUUCAAAGUUUUAUAUUAUUAAUUAUUGGGUGACAUUAUACUCCGCAAUAGGUAUAGAAGUUGAUAGCUAUACUUAGUGUUGAUAGUUUUUAUUUGACCGAAACCAUAAUGGUUUAAACCUUGACUCAUGUCCCCUUGAUCAAAUGUUAACCACCACACACAUAAUAUUGAUUGGUCAUUAGUUCUAAUGUGGCUUAGCACUAUUACUAGCUAGGGCUGCAAACGAGUCGAGCUGAGUCGAGCUUUGAGCUAAUCGAGCCGAGUCUCGACUAAAUUUUACCAAGCUCGAGCUCGAGCUCGAACUCGACGAGCCGGCAAUUUUCAAGCUCGAACUCGAAAAAAAUAAAAAAUAAUUAUUUUAUUUAAAAAUAAAUAAAUAAUUUUCUUAAUAAAUAAUAAAAUAUUAAGGAUAUAUACGUAAUUUUACUAUAAAAAUAAAAAUAAAAAAAUAUAUAAUAUACAUAAUUUUAUUAUUAAAUAAAAAAAAAUAUAUAUAUAUAUAUAUACUCAAGCUCGCGAGAGCUUAAUAUUCUAAGCUCGAGUUCGAGCUCGAGCUCGACUCAAGCUCGAUUAAUAUCGAACUCGACUUAAUCGAGCUCGACUCGAGCAGCUCGCGAGCAGCUCGAUUCGUUUGCAGCCCUAUACUAGCCAUGGGAUCUUAUCUUGAUUCUCAAGAGAGUCUCUAGAGAUAGCCCAAAUGCAUAACACAAGUUCUCGUGGCAACUCUUAUAUACGGAAGUCCUCCAAGGGUAUGAAUGACGUAUGCCCUUGGAAAUAUUGUCUUGGUCUCAUUGAGGGUUAAAUCCUUCCCUUGCAUCACACUUAGUAGCACUAUCAUCAUAAAGAUAGGAUGCUCAACUAAAUUUUUAGUGCCACUAUAAUAUUGAGUUAUGCAUUAUGGGUUAUGAUGUCUAACAAUAUAUAUUAUAGUAUCCUAUAAAUCUUGUGACAUAUUAGGUAUUGCUUUUGAUGAUAGACCAUUUACUUUAAAUUGUAAUUCAUUUUGAAUUAUAAAACUGAGAGUUAUCAAAAUGUGCAGUUCUUCAAAAAGUUGGCCUAAUUUAUAACUUGAUUGAAUCUAUUUCUUUUUCUUUUUCUCAAUUAUGGUUGAACAUGCAUACAGUCAUUUAUUUAGAAGAUAAUAUUAUUUAGUUUUAUGAACCUAAAAGUCUAAUAUAUUAGCUGAUGCUUUGGUUUUAAGUUAAUCUAUAUAUCUUUAUAUAGAAUGGAUCACUCUUCUACUACAUUAAGAUGAUAAAGAUGAAUUCAUAAUAUUCGUCUCAUGUGUGCAAUAAUGAUAAGUGUCAUAUUUUACAUUAUUUCCAUAUAUAUUUGAAUACAUUUGUUAUGUAUUUAUAUGUGAAUGUUGUUCAAUUCGGGGUUUUACUUAGGUUUUCAUGUUUUAAACAUGGUUUGUUGUAAAAUUACAAAAUUAAUAGUUUUAGAUGGUAUUUUUUGUUUGUCUAGUUUGGAUUUGAAACAAGGGCUUAAAAAGUACUUAAACAUGUGUUAAAGGAUGCUCGUUAGAUGCCAAAAGGCAUUUUGGAAGUUUGGAGUAAGAAAGAAAUCAAAUUGAAACCAUGCCAAAGAAGUUAAGAAAGUUGUUUUCAAAUACAAUUUAGAUUCUAGUUUGAUAACUUGAGCUAAAGAGAUCAUAUUGAGUUGAAUUUUGAUACGUUUGAAAGUUAAGAUCAAGGAUACAAUUCUUUGCCACUCUAGUUUCCUAUCCAAAAGUCCAAAUUAUAGAUUUCCUAGUGUUGUAUUUUGGAAAUGAUUUCCUAGUGUUGUAUUUUGGAAACUUCUAAAAUUGCCUUCUGAAAAGUUAGUGGUAUUUUAGACAUUGCUUCAUACUUACAUGUCCAAAUGACUUGAUUCUUGAAUCAUAGAAAAGCUAAUUCAAUUAAAUACAAUUUUCCUGUUUCUCAUAAAAACUGAUUCUAUAUGCUUCAUAGAGAUUUUUCGUUUCAAGUCGGUUGCAAAAUAGUCAAAAUCCAUCAUGGUAGGGAUUCCUCUUUUGAAUCGAUUUCCAAUUCUUUUUUGUAUAAAAAGACAAUUUGUGGACAAAUUUAAGAAGCUGUUAGAUGUACUUUGGUAUCAUUAAUAAUGUAGAUCUUCAAUUAAACUUACUUUUCUUAGGUUAGAGUAGAAUUAGAGCACGCUUUUCUUUGUUUUCUGUAAUACAACUUUGGAAGAAAAUUGAAGGAAGAAGGAGCUCUUUGCCUGUCUUGGAAUAAAAGUUUCUUUUUUUCCUUUAUCUAUUCAAUGUUACUUAUUGUUUUUAUUAAGUUAACUUUUGUUAAGAGUAGUUAAUUACUUAUUUUGGGAUUGGAUGGAUUCAAUUACUCCUUAGUUCGUGAUCUUACUUAGUUAAUUGAUGAAUAUUGUACAUGCUAUUUUACACCUUUGUUUGUUUAUCUUUAAAAUUAAAAGGCUAUUAGUCGUGAAAACUUAAGCUGUUGAUUUUCUUAAAAAAAAAAAACUUAAGUUUUAGUUGGUAAAUGUAUAAACUUUAUUGUGUAACUCACAAACGUAGAGAAGCAUAUAAAGUGUUCUUGUACAACCUCAUGAUUUUAAUGACUUUUUAAUUUACUUUAUAUCUCAAACUUUGACUUGUUUUUGAGAUAAUUAAUGCAUUACAAAAGUAGAUAUUAAAAAUUAAGGAGAUUUAUCAUAGUUAUUGCACAAGAGUUAAUUUAUUGACUAAUAUUUUUGGUUAGGAUAAUUGAGGAAUUCUAAAAUCUAGGAAUCUUUUGUCUUUGAUUAUUUUAGUUUUAAUUGAAUUUUAUUUACUAUUUGAAGUUUUUGAGAUAAUUUCUAGUCUAAAUAAUAAAGAGUUUAGUAAAUGUUGGUAUUUGAUUAAUCUUUUCUAUGGAAUCGACACCUGAAUACUUGUCCUUUUUACAUACAAUUUGUGCACUUAUGAGCGAUAAGUACAGUUUAAUUUAACUUCAUCAAAUGGCUGUAGCAAUGAUUAUUUUCUUUACAAUGUGCCAUCAUAUUAGUAUGAUGAAUUUGAAUAACAAAAAGUGUCAAUCGAGAAGUAGUAAGGAAAAAGUUGUUGACAAGAUUUUUUAUUUGUUUAGACUAAUUAAAGUGAUAUUAGUUAUAAGAGUGAAUUUAAAAUGGAUAGGCGCACCUUUUGGCAUAUUAUACGAGAGAGUUAUAAAUGUUGUCGGGUAAAAAGAUAUUAAAAUAUGAGAUUGGUAACUUUCACGAUUUGAAAUUAUGCAGAAAUAGUAAGAGGGUUUGCUUGCAUGGCAGCCUUUGGGCUCCCGUUGUAGACACCAAAAUUUUAUUAAUUCAAUUUUAAACUUUAUUUAUUUAAUUAAUUCAAUUUUAGAUUUAUUUAUUUCAAAUUUUUAGCUUUAUUUAUUUAAUUAAUUUAUUUUUAGCUUUAUUUGUUUAUUUAAUUCAAUUUUAGUUUUAUUCUGUUAUUUUUAUUUUUAUUUUAUUAUUAUUACUAUUAUUAUUAUUUAUUCUUGUUUUCAUUAUUAUUAUUUUAAUUGAUUUAAGGUUGCAAAUAGUAAUUAGUGUUUAUUUUUAUUUUGGUACAUUAAGAUUCAUCAUUUUCUUUUCUUUUUAAAACAUUUUUUACACUAAAUUUCAGAAAAGAAAAUUCUUAAUAAAGAUCCAUUUUUAUCUUUUUCAAACUCAAGUUUUACUAAAUAAAAUGACAUUUUGUAAGGUAAUUAGAAAUUAGCAUUUAUUUAUAAAUUGGUUUUUGAAAAGAAAGAAAAAUACAAAACAAAAAUAAUAUAUAACACACAUGCAUGCAAUAGGGCCAAAUGGGGCACAUGCAAUAGGGAUAAGUAUCCCUUUAUUUCUUUGACAAUAUAACACCUAGAAGGCGAGGUGUUAGGACACAUGGAGGCCUAAGGAAAUUUGAGACAAAAAGAAAAAUAAGAAAAGGAGAAAAGGGGGCGGCGGUGAAAAGAAAAAUAGGAUUAGCCACUGAAAAAAAAGAGAAGAAAGGCGAGCUAAGGAAAACAGGGGAAGGCUUCGGCUAAAACAGAGAAAAAGGAGAGGAGGUCUUCGGCUGAACGGAAAAAGGGAGGAGGUUUUGGAGAAAGGAAAAAGAAAACAGAGCGAAAGAGAGAGAGAAAGCCAGAGAGUAGACGGAAGAAAAAUUGAAAAAAGAGGGGAGGAAAAAGGGAAGAGCUUCGACAAGAAAACAGAGCAAAGGAAAACCAAGAAUCGAAGGAAUCAGCAAGGAGUUGCUGUUGCCGCUGCUGCCACCAGAAUCCACCACCACCACCUGCAAAUCGUCACCGCAAAAGCUUGGUAAGGUUCCCUUUCUCCUUUCCUCUCUUUAAUUUUGCUAGCGGAUGGGUGAAAAUGAGAGGUAUUGACCUGAUUUUCUCUUCCUUUCUUCUUUUUAGUAAAACUUUUAUCCUUUUCUGACGUCUAUGUAUUCAUGUGGGGCUAUAAUUUCUGUUGUGUGAGAAAUUUGAUUGGGAUGCUGUAAAUUUUGGGGCUGAUUAACUUCAAAUUGAGCAAAGGAUUGGCGAAAUUCUUUAUACCCCUGACCUGUUCGAUGAAAUGCCCAGUUGAGAGUUCUACUUGAAGAUGAUUUUGCUUGCGUUUUGCGUGUGAGAAAAAGGAACAUUCGGCUAAUUCAGUGUUUGUCCGAACAUGAUAGCUAAUUUUUCAUGGUAGAAAACAGAGUCUUGGGAGGCUCUGACGUGCUGGUUUUUUGCACUUUUUCUGUUUUUAUGCUGCCCUAUGUUUGAGUCCGAAUUGAUGUGAUGAGAGGGGGGUGUUGUGAGUUUCAUUGUCGGUUGGGAAUGGUUAGAAUUGAAACCAGAUUUCUGGUAUUGCUCUGAUCGCAAGGAAAGCUGAAAUGCUCGUUGGAGAAGACAAUUACUUGUCUAAAAUUGCAUUUUCAGUCCCUCCAUUUUAUUUUUUUGUGAUUUAACCCCAAAUCUUUUAGAACUUCAUAAUUCGACCCCAAAACCUUCAUAAUUCAUUCAAUUAGGUCCCUAUUUUUGUUGCAUUUGAACCCCCCAAAUUUCGCCUUAUUCUGAUAUGACUCAAAAAAUUGGAAAAAGUUAAAGUUAUUUCGCCCUUUUAGACUUUAAUCAUCUUUUCAUUUUUAAGUAGUCUUUUGGGGUAGAUUAAUUCUUGGUUUUAGGUUAUAAUUGUGGCUUAAUAAUUUUAGUUGAUUUUUCCAUGUUGGGUUUUAUUGAAAUAGGUGAUUUGGGUUGAGAGGUUAUUUUGCUUGGGUUUAAGACAAUGGGUUUAGUUUAUUAUUUUUGGGUUUUGGUUUGGGCCAGAGGGUUGAAGCCCACCGAUUUUGUUGGCUAUCAUACAUGAUAGAUUGGCCCAUUUCGUUUGCUCUGGGUUUCCAUUGGGCUGGGGAGUUUUCGGUCCAAACAAAUAAGAAAAUGGCCUAAUGACCUGUUAGGUCAAGAAGUCUGGUGACGAAUUUUCAUUCCAGCCCCCUAACUUUUGAAUAUUUUCUCUAUGGCCCUAAAAACGUUUAACUUAUUUCAAUCAGGUCUAAUUUAAUUUCAAAUAGGCUCCUAAACUUUAUUUUUCUUUAAUGGUGACCCCAAAUCUUUGAGAUGAUUAUAAUUUGACCCCCAAAACUUUGUUAAUUUUUGCAAUUAAGUUCCUACUUGUUUUAAUUUCUUAAAUGUAGGUUGUUUACAUGAUUUAAUUGAUUCAAUUUCACGUUUAUUUUCAUUUUUUAUAAGUUUGUUAAUUAAAGUGAUCCCUUGACCUUUUUUAUUUGUUUUUUUGGAGGGUAAAUAAGAAAAUUUCCACUUCCUUAGAUCACCAAUUCAAGGGAGGUAUAUUCUAUCCUUUAUUUUUUAUUUCAUCUUAUUUGAUCUUAUGUGCCCUUAUGUGACUUUUAUGUGUGAUUGCAUGUCCUUUUAUGUUUUAUUUCAUUUAUUUAUUGUUUUGAUUUUAUAUAUUUAUUUUAAUUUAAUUUGUAAUUAUUUGGAAGGCAAUUAAAUGCCAAAAUUGUAAUAGUUAGGUUAUUAUUUUACUUCAUUCUUUAUUCCCUUUAGAUUGUAGUUAAGGCGCUCAAAUGUAAUAGUUAGGGUUUUAUUUGCUUUGUGUGUUUUGCAUGCUUAUGUGUUUACGUGUGUUACUCGCAUUUUUAGGGUCUUGCAUCUAGAUAUUAUACUUAUGUGCUAUGUGCUAUAUGUGAUUUAUGUGUUUAUUUGCUUUAUUAUGUUUUACAUGAUUUAUUUGAUUGUAAUAAAUGCAUGAUGUCACCACACUAGUCCCACGCUAGUUGUGGCUCUCUUUUUCCGAUACCACACUAGUCCAACGCUAGUUGUGGCCCCUUUUCCAGAGUUCUCACUAGGUUAGUAGUUCAAUGCUAGUGAGAACUUAUAGACAUAGGCUAGUCCAACGCUAGACCCUUAGGGACCAUCCUUGCGUUAGAUCAUAUUUGUGUGACAAUCAAUAAAUUUCAUGCAUAUUUUUUUCACUUGUUAGGAUCCUUAUCACGUUUGCAUGAUAUUUACCCUGUAUAUAUAUAUAUAUAUAUAUAUAUAUAUAUAUAUAUAUAUAUUUCUCAUUCCCAUGAGAGACAUAACAUUAGACUUGCAUUUUAUUUAAGAAAAGUUAGGAGUAGAUUAGUGCAUUUGCUUGAUUAAAUUAAGGAAAUUAUCUCUCGAAUAUGGGAUGUGGACGAGUGUGGCUUUCUAGUCUUAGCAUUCCCUCUAUUAAAGGGAAAAUUAAAGUCACGAGUAUGAGUUCUCCGCACCCAUUAUGAUGCAUUUCUUUAGGUCAUUUGUAUAUUAUUUUUUUUUCUUUUCUUCGAGUCUCAUCUUUUUCAAAUUUCAUGAUUUUUUCAAAAAAUCACUUUUGGACAUCGCAAUUAAUGCGAUUAGUGCCAAUCGAGUUGUGAAGAGACAUAUUGACUCUUUGGAUAACUACUAGGUCUAGAUUUGCAUCCAUAUAGUGACAUUCAAAUGUGAUAAAUUCUUAGAUUAAAAUAAGAAAAUUUUUUGACUAAAUCACGCAACUGGUCUUGGUUAGGUCGAAAGGGUGUUUUGGAUUAUUAUCCUUGCCUUUUCUUUCUUUAAAUGUGACACCCGAUCCUUUUUCUCUAAUUUUCGAAGACUUAGAGUCGUUUAAAAAGGGGUCUUUUCUACUUUUUUUUAAAAAAAUUCAUUUUAAGUGAUUUAAUACACCUUAAUCCAAUGGCGACUCUUAUUUUGAUUAAAAACUCUUUUUAAACUAUUUUUUUUGGUCAAAACCGUCGCACUUUCUAGUACCAUUUAGGUCAAUUUUCUUUAUUUAUUUUCUAAGAAAUAAAAAAAUUCCUUUUUACUCAAAAUAAAUCAAAAACCCAUUUUUCACACAAAAUAAAUCCAAAAUUCAUUUUUAUAAACUCGUUAUUUUUUUCAUUUAAAAAAAGGGGCGUGACACCCGUCUCAUCCACGGGAUAAUGGCGGAUGGUGGUUGUGGCAUCGUCUUUUGCAGCGGUAGUCAUGGGGAACACCACUUCCAUGGAUUCCGUUAGGGAUUUUGGUUCAGUUUCAAUGUUUCGGGGGGAGCCAGCCCUUCACAUUUCUCACUAGGAGAUAUCAUUGUUAGCUGCUCCCUUUCGUAACACACUGAUUGGCAGAUUCGGUCAUCACAGGCCUUCUAUGGACGUGAUGUGGAAAUUCUUUGUUUCAUUGGGUUUGAAAGGAGAAUGCUUGAUUGGUUUGCUUGAUGAUAGCCAUAUCCUAAUUUAGCGAACGCUGGAGGAAGACUAUACGAGGUUAUUCGCCCAUUCGUUCGUGGUUUGUUCAUAAUAUCCCAAUGUUGAUUUCAUACAUUGACUAUUUUUGAUGGGUAAGAUAAGACAAUCUUUUCCACCAAAUCACCAUUGCACUUAAAGUUUGAAAGGCUCUUUCCACGGAUCUCUAGUAAGUUCAAUUCAUCAAAUAUCCAACUUGUCCACGUGAAAAUAGCAAGUGUAGGAGCACGUGAAAAUAGUAUUGGCAGAGAGUUGAGUUUGGUGUCCAAAAAAAAUCUAAAAUAAAUUCAAUGGGCUUGGAAAUAAUUAGUUCAUAAGCUUUCCGAAAUCAACCAGUGAUACUAUUGCCCAACAAUUUCCCUGACUUCAUUUCUUCAUUGGCUUUUGAAAACAAUACCACCAUUAAGAAUUAACCUUUUCUUAUUGCCCUGGAUUAAAAACCAAAGUGGAGACAACGGACAUAAUUAACCCACUAUUUCUCUCAGCUAUAGCCUCACCCACACCCAUUAUAAUUCUCUUCCACUCCCUCUAUUCCCAUCCAAUUAGCAUCAGUUUUACCCCAACUAGCCCCAAGCAAUUCCAACCAGCGACAACAUAAAAAGAUAUAUGCACCCACUGAUGAUUGUCACUGUGAAUAACAUACGUAUAAAAAUAACUUCAACAAUUGCAACCAUGAAUCAAAUAGCAACACAAGAAGAAAAUGAGUAAAGCCAUGACUCAAACAGCCAACCAAAAAAAUGUGUCAGAAAAUAUUUUGAGAAAAAAAUUAGGGCAAAAUAAUUGGAGCAAAAAUUAGGGAAUGGCCACAAGCCAUGAGAUACCCUACCUGAGAGUUGGUGGAGAGCACAUCAAUCCCUUUCAGCAUUGAACGCACAAUUGGUGGAGAGUUUUCUUUCUUCUUUGGAGAGUGCAAAUAGCAAGUGUAAGAAGGUGAAGAGUAAUAUUGAAGACGUCUAGUACUAGUCAAAUAUAAGACCAUCCAACUCAAAAUAAGUUCCCACUUUGUAAUUACAAGUACUGCGCCAUUUUUUCCAUUUUUUUGUUUGAACGAAUUUUUGGUACUACUUAACAAGACCAUCCACGUCAAUUGUUAACUUUAAGUUUUAUUUAAAUUUACUAAUAUAUAUUUUUAUUACUAAUAUAUUUACGAACAACUGUUAGCUUUAAGUCAAUUUACUAAUAUAUUUACACUUCCUCCCCUGAAUCAUCAAACCCAUUUCUCCUCCUUUACUAAUAUAUUUAUAAUCACUAUUAUUUCUUAAUAUAUUUAUUAAAAAAUAUUCUAAUGGGUGGAAAAUUUUGCUAAAUUUAAACAACUAGUAAAAAAGUACUCUUGCUCAUGUUGUAAUAGUUUAUAUAGGUAUUCUAACUAGAAACUUUUGUUAAUUUUUUUAGUUAAAAAGCUAUUGCAAUUUGAGUAACUAUGAGUAGUUCAAUAAAUCACCAAAUUUACAAGAAAAUUAAAUUGAUAUUAAGGCACAGAAUUAAACAAUAACAUUGGCGAUGUUAAGGUAAGUGAUGAUAUGGUGUUGUCACUAACUGCACCAUAGUUUUAUUGACAAUAACGGGUUGUCAGUAAACUUAUACAGUGACAACAAUGAAAAGUUGUCAAAGAAAGAAGUAGAAAUACUGACGACUUUUAUUAAGUUGUCAUUAUCGUAAAACCUGUGCUUUUGGAGUCCUAUGGUGCGAAGUAGUUUUGUGACGACAAUUUGGAGUCGUCACUGAAUAGUUAGCUACUUUGAGUCAAUUGUGACAACCUUCAAUGUUGUGUCUAGAGAGCCCUAUUCUGUGACAACUUUCUGUUGUCACUAGAAAAUAUUGUCACUGAUGACCCUUUUUCUUUUAGUGUAUAUGGCAUCAUUACACUCGAAGGUUUGGUUUCGUUACACUAGAGGAGAUUCCUCUUUCUUACUUUCUUGGUUUCUAUCGCAUUCACGAGUCUUAGCAGGCCAUUUUUGGAUUCUUCUUCCUUUGGUGGUUCAAUGGUUCAUAUGGAAAGGCUGCAAUAAUGCUCGCUUCCAAGGUGCUUCCUUCAUAGCUUCUCAACUGAAUUUUCAGGUGGACCAAUUUAUGGAACAAAUGGGAGCUGCGAAGUUUUUUGAAGCCUCUCAAUUCUCUUGUGAUUGGGACUACUUGUGGUUUGGUUUUGUUCCUCUAUCACGGUUUAAAUCCAAGUUCUUUUCGGUUUCUUGGUCUAAGCCACCAACCCAUUCUCUCAAGCUGAAUACAAACGCGAGCAUAUCUCAGGUAGGGGCUGCAGGCGGUCGAUUGCUUCGUAAUCAUGAUGGGGAUCUAGUUUUUUCUUUUUACAAAGAGUUUGGAGAUGUUGAUGUUUUGAUGGUGGAAGAUUUGUCGUUGCUGAUCGGUCUUCAAUUUUGUAAGGAGCGUAUGUCCUACAAUGUUCUUGUGGAGGUCGACUCAAAGGUUCUUGUUCAAUUGGUGUCUUCUGGGUCAAUUGCUAGGUGGUCUUUAAUUGGCACUUUGUAGCAUAUAUGGGCACUUCUGAACGAGCUACAUGCUUCUUUGGUUCACAUCUAUAGGGAAGCCAACUCCUCAGCAGACAUUUUGGCAUCUUCUAGGCUAGAGUGCGAUUUGGUUUCCACAGUAUCCGAGCACCUACCAAUUGCACUUAAAUCCAGUGUGCAUCUUGAUAAGUCCUUAGUCCCUCAUUUGCGCAAACACCGUAUAAGGGAGCAGUACACCUUUUGCUUUUGUUUAUGUAGCUUAUAGGAGAAUUUUCGCCAACUCAUUGUAGUCUUUUUUGGUUUUGAAUAAAGCAACGGACUGGCAUCCCAUUAUCGUGUAUGGGGUUUCCAAAAAAAAAAAAAAUUCUAGGGUUUAAUAUGCACUUGAACUAUUUGUGUUAUUACAAAUGACAUCUUUAUCAUAUUGAUUGCUUAUAUUUAUGUAAGUAUGAUAAAACCCUUAGAGUAAACUUAUUUGAUGAAAUCAUAAGAGUUAUGAUGGUAAGGUUCAUUCGAUUAUAAAUAAGGUUUAUUCUUAAAUAUCCAUAGUCAAAGUAUUAAUAAGAAAGGGCAUUAUUAGUACAGUUAAACUAACAUAUACUAUGUUGUUUCUAUAUGAUAAGUAGUAGAUCUCAUCAACUAGCGUAUUGGACAUCUAAGGUAGUAUACGGGUGUUUGAUAGGAUGAUCAAAUUCACUAUAUUGAUCCGUAUAGAGAUAUCCUUUUUUUUAAUUUAUAUAUGUUAUUGAUAGGCAAGAGAAUAGGUGUUACAAUGUAGUUUGAGAAGGCCAUCGUGACAGCCUGUAAGGGAAAAUAAAUAAGGAGUACUUACUCCCUUACAUCAUGUCAUUAUUUUUCCAACAGUGAAGAGUGUAUUUUUUGAACCAAAAAGGACUAAGCGUGGAAGUUACUUCUUUACGUGCUUGACAUAUGAGAAAUGCCUCGAGUCUAGCCGUGUAAUCCCUAUAGUUCACGACUAUAGUGAGUGCGCGUCAAAGGUGCCCAACUUUUGUAAGUGUGCAGCCUGUAUUGCAAGGUCAUCCGUCUUCGUAUUAACCUCUCUGUAGUAGUGUGACAGGGCGAAUACAACCUAGUUUAGCAAAUUUUGAAUCCCUAUGACCUCCACAUCAAUUCUUCAUGGCCAGUUGUGCAACCCUUUAACAAUGUGCAACAAGACCAGAGAGUCCAUUUCUACCUCCACGUGAUUGCAGCCCAAGGUGAUACAUAGUUAUAGACCUUCAAGUAGUGCCCUAGUUUCAGCUUGCAUGUUUGUUUGACACCCAUAGUGCGAGGAAAAAGUAGCUAAAACUUGGCCACUUGAGUCUCUAACAAUCCCACCACUACUCGAGUUUCUCGGAUUCCUAGGUGAGGCGCCAUCAACAUUCAGUUUUAUGAAUCGAUCUGUAGGCGGCGACCAAGCGAUAGUUAAGCAUCUUGUGGGCUUGGAACACUUGGAGAUGAGUAACCAACGCAGUGGCUAGAGCUCCAGUCCAUUGUGGCUGUCCGAGGCAAAAAGGUGAGCAAAGGAGAUGAAAUGAAGCAACUCAAGUAUGAGGCAAAAAACCUAGUUAGCCGUCAAUACACCUCCUUAAUAGAUGGUUUUAUUCCUAGCUUUCCAUAGUUCCCAACAAAUUAGUAGUGGGAUAAUUUGAGUCAGCUCAGUUUGUAGCGACCCCUUGGAGCAGUGCGACCAUCAGCUUUGUAAUUGGAGCAUGAUGUCAUCGGAUAGUGCUGUCUGUAGUCCCAACUUCUGCUCCAUUUUCUCCCACACCUGCCUAACCAAUCGACAUUUAAGGAAACAAUGGGUAAGGAUGUCCUUAUUAUCACAGAACGGGCACUUUGAAGGGAGAUUGAAGCCAAACUGCUGCAGGAUAUCUGGGAAUGGAAGCAUAGAGUUGAGCAAUCUCCACAUGAAGAUCGAUAGCUUGAGUGGUAUCCUUCUACUCCAUAUCAAUCUCUUGGAGACCAUUGAGCUUGAGGGUUGUUGAAGCACUUCUAGCGCGGAGUACAGUUGGAAAGCGCCAUUCGUAGUCAGACACCACACCACCUUAUCCUUACCUUGGCAAAGUUGAGGAUGAGACCAUAAAAGCUAUAGUUUUUCAUCUUGCAUGAGUGCCGAGUCUACUUGGCUUAAGUCCCAACCAUUGUCAUGCAAGAAAUCACAAACUUGAAUGUGCGGAAAAGGCACCUGCCUCUUCUGGCCUGCAAGGGGCCUAGAACCAAUCCAAUUGUCAUGCCAGAAUGAGGCUCUACCAUCCCUUAAUAGGCCUUGUAGGUUAUCUUCCACCAAGUCGCGUACUCGUAACAUGUGUUUCCAACUAUAGGAGCUUGAAGGCUUCGCCGUAGCUAUAGAGAUAUGCUCAGAUGUAGCAUAUUUGGAGAGCAUGAACUGACACCAAAGAGUGUCGGAAGACCGCAACUUCCACCAUAACUUGCAUCCAAAGGCUUUCGCAAUGUCAUCUAGCUCGCAUAGCCCCAACCUGUUUUCAUGCGUGGGUUUGCACAAAUUGCUCCAUUUUGUCCAAUGCCGUUUGUCACGUCCAUCCAUUUCUACCCAGAAAAAGGCGGACAUGACCUUCUCUAAUUGGCACAAAACAUUUCUAAGCGGUUCUGAGACUGUGAGCAUAUACAAAGAGAUGGCCGCGAGUACGUGCUUGAUUGGAAUUAGGCACCCUCCCGUAGAUAGCAACCUUUUCUUCCACCCAACUAGUUUCCCUCUCAUCCUAUCCACGAUUUGUUCAAAGUGUUCCUUCUUACCUUUACCUUUGAAUAGCUUGCUAUCCAAGUAGACAAAGGGAAGAUCUUUUUGUUGGAACCUUGUCCAUCGAGCUAUCAACUGCUUCCUAGCUGUUGGGCAUCUGGAAGACAUCAUAAAAAAACUCUUUUCCUUAUUUAUCUUCUGGCCAGAGCCUCUUUGGUACAGCUCCAAAAAAUCCAUUAAGGCUUGAACAGUGCGUCUAUCUCCCAUAGAGAAAAUAGCAAUAUCAUUGACAAAGGCUAGAUGUGAUAUUGGCAUGCAGCCGCGGCCCAAAUCGAAUGGUUGUACUGACCUUGUCAAGAUCAUGUUCUUCAAACCCCGGCUUAGUGCCUCUGACAUUAAUAUGAAUAGGAACGGAGAAAGAGGAUCCCCUUGCUUCACACCUCGACUCACCUGGAAAAACCCAUAUGGCUUUCCAUUGACAAGGAUUGAGAACCAAGCAGAGGACAGGUUGUUCACAAUCAAGGAGGUAAAUCAAGGAUGGAAGCCGAACCGGUUCAUCAAGAGUGAAAAGAAAUCCCAUGAGACAUAGUCGAACGCCUUCAUCAUGUCGAGCUUGAGCAUAACGUUGUGUCCCUUAACCCUUUUGUCUAUCGAAUUAACUAGUUCCUGUGCGAGCAAGAAGUUAUUCGAGAUCUCCAUACCAUUGACGAAUAUCGAUUGCUUUAGGGAGAUGAGAAUGGGCAAAACAUUUUUUAAUUGAUUACCAAGAAUUUUAGCUAACACCUUGUUGAUGAAUGUACACAGGCUAAUCGACCUAAAAUCCACAAAUGUCGUCAGGGAUUCCUUUUUUGGGAUUAGUAUCAUGAGGGUGCUUGCAAUGCCUUUAGGGAGUGGAACACCACACAUAAAUUCUCGAGUAGCCUGAAGAACAUCGGUCGCAACUAGAUCCCAGCAAUAAGUGUAUAAACAUCCUGCAAACCCAUCACAACCAGCUGCACUACUACCAUCUAGGUCAAAUACUAGUUUUUUAACUUCCUCAAGUGAGACUUUAGUUAGAAGUUAACUAUUCUGUUCAGGCGUUAUAAGAGCAAGAAUAUUAUUCAGCAAUUCCAUAGAUGCUAGGUUGUCUAUGGCCGAGGGCUCUGCCAAUAAGGACUUGAAAAAUUCCACAGCUGCAGUACCAAUGGCUUCAUCGCCCUCAAUGGUGCUCCCAUUCUGGUUUUUGAUUCUUCUAAUAGCAAGCUGCGAUCUCUUGUCCAUUAAAGAGGAGUGGCAAUAUUUUGUGUUUGCAUUUCCCUCUUUUAACCACUUAAUUCUAGCUUUUUGCCGCCAAAAAUCCCUUUAUCCGCCAAGUGUUUCAGCAGAGCUGCAUGAGCUUGACUCCAUUGUAGGCGCGCUUCACAAGUGUCCUCACUUUCUAGCUGUAGUUCUUUUAGCCAAACCUCCUCUUCAGCUUUAGCUAUAUUAUCGAAGAUAUUCCCAAAAGUUGUCUUAUUCCAUGCUCGUAAAUCAAGCUUUAACCUCUUUAGUUUUGUGACCAAAAGAGGUAUUCCGUAACCUGGAGUCGACUGAGUCCAACUGCGUCGGACCACAUCUAAGAAGCUAGUGUGUUUGAUCCAUAUUUGUUGAAAUCAGAAUGAUCGAGUCCCAUAGCUGGAAAGCGGCUGGAGCUGCAAUAAUAAAGGGUUGUGGUCCGAGGUUGCACGGUUAAGAUGCUGGACAGCGGAGUUUAGGAAGAGGCGCUGCCAUUCUAUGUUCAUAAGGAGCCUGUCCAGUCUUUUCCAAACCUAGCUAUCGUGAUGAACUCCAGUCCAAGUAUAGCGACUCCCAGAUAAAGCAAUGUGUUUCAAACCACAUGCUGAAAUGCAAUCCACAAAUUUCGAUAUUGCAUUCAAAUCAAGUGGGGCUCGUCCCAAGUACUCGUCAAUGGAUGCAGCAACAUUGAAGUGACCACCUAUCAACCAUGGCUUGGACACCAGGUUACUCGAUAGGGCAACCAAAUCCAACCAUAGAGAUCUUCUUUCAAUGCUUGAGCAUUUCACAUAGAUAAAGAAGCAAUAAGACACACAGUUCCAGGACUCAUGCAUGAGCGCUAAAUGGAUAUAUUGAUCUACAUUAACAAUAACAUCUACUGCCAACCCACGCUUCCAUAUUACCCAAAUCUUAUUGGAAACAUUACAAACCCCUAGGUUGAAACGAAGCUUUGAUGUGGAGCUGUCCAAUUGAUCGGGCUUAACCAUAGGCUCUAAGACUACUAAUAACAAUACUAAAUGCAAUCUUAUUAAGUUCUUUAAUUGACGAAUAGAGGCUCGACUAGCGAUGCCCCAUACGUUCUAGACUAUAGCGUAAAUCGUGAUAGGAUUGGGAGAGAGUUUCUAAAGUUACCUUUGAAGAUAGCCUUGACACUACUGCCUUGGGUAAGUCUAAAAAUGGCCUUCGUCACCCGCGUUUAGAUGAGGGUGCCACCUUCUAGGGAAUUGGAAAAAGAUGAUCAACUUGUUUCUUGAACCGAAUGAAAAUUCUCCAUUUGUGGGUCGCGUGGCUUGCUGCGCUGUUUUUGUCCCUUAACAUCCGACAGUGAGUCCAGGCUUCCGCACCUCAAGGAGAGUAGUUGGUGGUCAUCCACGAGGGUAUUGGCUAGACUAUUGUGGUCAGGUAGGAGUGGUUGUAUCUGUGGGUCUGAUUGCUAUGGCUCACAUCAAUCUUCCAAUGACCGCUGCUGUACCUCCUCUCUGUGCAGCGAAGAUGAUGCUUGCUGUAGCUUGCUCUGGCAUUAUUUUUUUGGUAUUGGCAGCGUUGGUAUUUUUGUUUGUGUGACCAAGCAUAGCCUGUUCGUCCAUGUGGAUUGUUCCUGAGGAUCGCUCUGGACAUGGUCCUAGUCCUUAGCCAUCUGUGCAGUCUCCUGGUAUAGGUGGGGGGCCUGUCCUUGGGCCUGUAGAUUGGCCAAUAAUUGUGUGUUAAUAGUAUAUUAUCACCUGAUCAUUAGCCAGCAACUCUUUCUCUUUUGCCAAGGGGUGGUUCACCUCCAUCAAGUGGUUAUGGGUUUCCCUUGGGACCCAGAUUCCAGAUUCUCUGCUACCCCAACUCUUGUCAUAGAUUUUCAUCUUUGUUGCUAGGCUGUUUCGGUGCGUCAUUCAACUGUCUACAUAAUUUGUCUAAGUGACCCAACUUCCUGCAAUGCUUACAGUAAUCAGGUUGGUUUUCAUAAUCGAUUCGCUACCAGAAUCCCAUGGAGCCAUUCCGAAUCUAUACUCAUUCAGGAAAGGGUCAUAACAGGUCCACUUCAACACAAAUUCUAGCCACGCUUGGCCUAGCUAGUGUCGUUGUCGAUGCAUCCAUGCAUAUGGACUCCCCAAUCAGUUUUGCAAUGGAGAAUAAAGGCCUUUGUUAAAAAAGUGGAUUGGGAGGCAAUGCAGAUGGAUCUAGAUGGGAACAACCGAGAAUUCAGUGUCAACUGAAAAAUUUAGAGAUCAUUUAAAAACUCUCAUACCAAAUCCUUGAAAGGACCAGAAGCCUUGCAGCCAGUAUCUAUGAAAGUCGUUUUCUAAUUUGAAAUGGAUUAGAACAUGUCUUGUAUCAAGGAGUCCCAAGGAGAAAGGACCCUUGAAUCCAAUAGUGACGAAGUCCUUUCAGAGGGCUUUCAUUGAUGGCCGGUCCUUGGAGAAUUUUCCAACAAAAGCAAACUUGAAAGGAGCAGACAGAAGCUGAAUAUCAUCAUCCGAGAAGGAGAUUGCUAGCUCUCUCUUGUAUAAUUCAUGAGGCUUGAGGAAAGAGGUGGCCAUUAGGGUAGAGUUCUAAGUGAUGUUUGUGUAAUUGAUCUUUAGAUGUAAGAUUAUCAUGGUAUCUUAAGUAUGAAUAGUUAUACUUUAUUUGUUAUAUGAUUACUCCCAUAAUAAGGAAUACUCACAUUAUUAGCAAAUGAGUAUAUACAUGAAGUAUGGAAAGACGGUGAAUAACCUAAAACUAUUUGUCACCUCUUAUAGAAGAAGAAUUAUCUCAUGUUUGGCUACUUAUAGAAGUGUAACUCAAAAUUCUUCGCACAAAUUUAUUAUCUGCACAAAUUUUUUUUUCUGAGGGCUCGUUUGUACAACUUCAAAUGGCAUUAAAUGCAUAGAUAUUAUGGAAUACAAGAAGCUGUUACAUGAUUUUCUUGCGGUAAGUUUGUCUUACUUGGGUUAUGGUCUGUGGUGUUUCUUUUAAGUUAUUUUACACAAUGCGGGCAAUCUUUCAUUUGGAUUGCAUUUUCUAGGGAGUUUUUAGGGGAAAAAUUACUGUGGCAUUUUUUAAGGAUGUGAUGUAGAUAAUGUAAAAAAGUGAUUGGAAAUUAUGUACAAGGAAUAUUUAUAGAAAAUAACAAAAUUUUUUUUUUUAGAAAAAACACAAUCCAAACGGGGUUAUUUCAUUCGUAACAAUGAAUGUUGUUGUAUUGAAAUUUUUGAUAAUGAAAUUGCUUCUUCUUAAUCUGGAUAAAUAAAUUUGAAAAUCGUUAAUUAUAUGCUUAAAUUGACUUUAUUGUGAAAAAUUACAUGCUUAAACUUAUCCAUUGUAGAACUUGUUACGAGACCAUGAAUUAUUUAUUCUUAUUGAACUUUAGUUUGAUGCUUAAUUCGGCAAUCUGCAUCUUAGAGAUAGCAUUAUCUACAAAUUAAGUCAAUACUAGUCAUAAUGAAAAGGUUAAAAGAAAAUUACAAAACUUAUGGAAUUUGAGGUUACAAAGUGAUACUGACUUUUUUUUACGUUGUAGAGAAAUUAAUUUUUAUUAGAAUUAUAUUAUACUUUUCCCAUGAGAGUUUUUGCUCUCUGUGGGCACUUCUUUGCGAAUGCAAGUUUCCUUCUUCCCUAAAACUCUAGUGGAGGUUUUUUCAUCUGCUUCUCUCUCAACCUUUUGUGAUGAUCCCACCUCCCCUUAGGACGAAUCCAGAGGUUUGGUGAACCGCCUACCUAACUCUCACCAGGACUCGCUUACUCACUUCAAUAAAACGAGUUAUAAAUUCAAAAGUAAGUGAAACAACAGUUCCCAAACUUAGAAUGUACAUUUACCUAGUUCUAUCUCAAACAUUCAUACAUUUCCCAAUAUAACAAAAGAUUCAAGUUCUAAAUAACUUUCAACCCUAAUUGAGCACUAAUGCAAGUACAAUUACAAAAGUCAAAAACUAGACAUCACCAGUCUGUACCAGCCUUACGCCUAUGCUCGUACCCCCUGUAAGGAAAACAAAACUAAUAGGGUGAGUCAAAACUCAGUGAGGUUCCAAAAUAUCAAGCGAGUUGACCAUUGUAUAAAAUUUGAAAUAUUAAAGUAGCGAGCAUAAAAGUUCAUAAAAGUGAGCAAUAACACUUCAAGUAGCAAAUUAGAUAAAUAUCCAACAUUUUCAAGUAUAAGGAUACAGUCGCUUUUGCGAGCCAACUCGGCCAUACGUUGCCAGGAAGUAGUCGACACUCCGUCAACUUUCAAAGUAAUGUAACCAGUCCAGUAGAGCACCACUUAACUCCAAUCUCCAUCCACCAUCCAACCCCCUACCGGGCCCGAACUCCAAUAUAAACAGUGGUGGUAAUACUCGAGCAUACCAAUUAGUCGAGGAGAUAACACUCCACUUGACAGAACAGGAGACCCAGGGUUCGUUAUUUAAUCGACCAGGCCUUUGUCGGCUCGACUCGAUUAACUGGCCAUAGGGUUUUUGGAAUUCUAGAUAGUAUUCAAGUCAUAUACAUGUAUAUCAAGUCAAUUGUAAUCAAUGCACAGUAAUAAGUCACAUUAGAGCAAGUGCGAUAAAGUACACCCUUGUCCGACCAAAUAAGUCAAGUAUUAUUCAAUCGCAUUAGCCAAUCAUUUCAUUCAAGGAUCAAAUUCAAUCAUGCACUGGAAAACACUCACCAAUGAUUUAUUGCUUUCCAAGACCAAGUUCAGGUUAACUCCCUGACUGGAGCCUAAAUCUACGGUAAAAUACCGUUUAAUAGUUUGCAAUCAAUUAGGGUUUCAAAAUAUAGGAGUUUCGCUUAAAGAAAACUAAGUAAAUAGAACUCAUUUAAGUAGUACUCGUUUUACUUACUAAACCUUAGAAAAUUCAUGCUCGUUCUUUUGGUUUCGAUAAAGGAGCGGUUAAAACUUUUAAGUUCGCAACUUGGUAUAAGAAACUAGGAAAUCUUGUUUAAAGUGGUCGUUACUUUGUCUUUGAAAAAUAUACACUUUUGAGCAAAAUUUUAACUUAUAAGUCACCCAUAAGGUCAACCUAAGCAUCUCUACAUAACUAAGUCCCGAAUUGAGUACAAGUCACAUCCAUAUUUCUGCUUUCACUCACUUAUCCCAGGAGAGGAAAAACGGUCAGCAUUUCCUUUGUGUUUACCUAAUUUUUCAGCUAUUUCAAGGCUACAUCUUCAUCCCAAAUCAGCCCCAAAUCAACACCACAAGUAACAAGAUAAAAGCAGCUCUUAAUCUAGGCCAUAAACCUUCCAAUUAAAGCUCACUUCUAGCAUAUAUACAUCACAAUAUCAAAGCUAAAAAAAUCUCUAAUAAAGCUGGAAUUUCAUAUUUAAAAGCUAAAGAGUCACAAUAAGGCCACCAAUCAUCACACAAGUCCAUAACCAAGCUCAAUACGAACAUAUCAUGGAUAAAAAACAUAAAUCAAGGCAGAAAAAUCAUAAACCCUAAGCUGAUUUUUCACUAAUCUUCACCAAAUCCAAAUUAUCAUCCAUAAAAUUUCAAGUUUCAAGUCAUCUUCACCAUAUUUGGCAAGAAUAAGAAAGAGAAAGGAAGUUGUUCAUCUUAUACCUUCACCUCUUGAAGAAAAUGAAGAAACCAAGGCUUCCUCUCCAAAAACUCUCCGCUACAAGCUUCCUUGGUACGAGUUUGUUCGGUUUAGUUUUGUGAUUCUAACUUAAACAAGGCAAGAAUCAAGAUGGAAAUGGAAGUUUAUCUCCUCUCUUUUAUCUCCUAGUGGUUCGGCCAUGACAAGAAAAAAUGGAGGAAAAUUGGCCAAAAGAAAGAUAAGAAGGAAAGAAAGUUACUUUGGUCAAACUUGUCUUGGAUUGCCAACACUUGGCAACCAAGUUUUUUUUUUCUUUUCUUUCCUUUUCUUAGUCAACAAUUUCGGCCAGCUUUAGGGUUAGAUUAAGGGAGGAUUAAAUGAAACAAAAACAAGGAGAUUAGGGUAAGAAAGUAUUGGUCAAGUGGGGUACUCAACCGGUAACAAACGGCGCACGUCGGUUCAAGUAUACUUUCUUAACUCUCUUGUACUUUUGUUUUAACUUAUGAUUCAUUAACUUAUUUUUAGCACUUCUAAUCACAUAUUUUCUCUUACUUAAUACCCACUCUUAUCCACCAAAUUUAGUACACAUACUUCACCAAGUGAUCACACUACCAAAAUGCACAAAAAAACCCUAACUUACGCCAUUCCUUUAGAAAAAUCAUAACUUGAGUUAUAAAUGUCAAAAAUUCAUACAAUUUGGCCUGUUAAAAACUAGACUUGAAAUACUAAUAAUCUUUAGAAGACACCUUAAAGAGAUUCAGUUCAUAAGUUGGUCCAAAUUGAGCCGUAAGCUACUAUAACAUUCCUAUUUUUACUUGUGCAGGGCAGAAUUUUCAGUCAACUUUGCCGAUUUUAUGGUAUUUAUAGAAAUUGAAUCAAACUUUGAAUUUUAUACCAUAGGAAGCUCUAUAAGUCUAGUUUCAAAUGCAAUAAAUGAAACUCAAUUUUGACUUUUCUAUACGAAAUUAUAGCCAAUUUCCCAAAACUGCGUAGAGCCUCCUGCGAAAAUUUCUAGAUUUUCUAACAACUUGAGAAAAUGAAACUUUUAUUAACAAAAUUCACUCCCUUGGCUCAAAUUCAACAUACAUGUGAAGAUUAAGGUUUAACAAAGUAUCUUAAACAAAACCUUGCCAAAAUCAUCAUAAAAUAACUAAUAUUUCCACAUAGAAGCAUAUAUCAAACUCGCCAUAAAUCUCCCCAUCAAGCUACUAAGGUUUUCAUGAAAUGUACCUAAUCCUUCCUCUUUAUCAUAUGAAGAGACAUCUAGCAUGAUUCUUAACCAAGAAAUCCACCAAAUGUAUCAUACAUAUCUCACUUGUCGGUUACACCAGUAUCGUGCACUAUGAAACUUAACAUGCAUCCAAUUAAGCAUGCACCAAGUUGAAUAAUAUAAUGGAAGAAAAAUCAUGAUUGAACCAUUAAAGCAACCAAGAAUUUAAGGCAAGUAAGUUCAAAUAAGAGUUAUAAAGACAAGUAAAAUUUCGGGGUCUCGCACCUUUUCACUAACACCUCUCUCAAUUAUAUCUAAUACUCAUAUCCUUCGUAUUCCGUUCUACCUUUUCUCAUUAUUAACUAUGAUUCUCUUCUUUGCUUUAAUUUCUUUUAUUAUCCUUUUUUUCAUAGUUCUUCCUUCCAUUUUCCUUAGUUUUUCUACCUCUAGCCUUAUCUGUUCAUAGCCUUUAUUUCUUUUGUGAUUUGUAGGUUUUUAGAUUAUGAAGAAUUUUGU
Molecule: long non-coding RNA, 76238 nt
Filed under: Coffea arabica (coffee)
Lineage: Eukaryota; Viridiplantae; Streptophyta; Magnoliopsida; Gentianales; Rubiaceae
Description: long non-coding RNA (CARA_LNC005649)
Source: RNAcentral